Molecule: long non-coding RNA, 59960 nt
Filed under: Theobroma cacao (cacao)
Lineage: Eukaryota; Viridiplantae; Streptophyta; Magnoliopsida; Malvales; Malvaceae
Description: long non-coding RNA (TCAC_LNC005350)
Source: RNAcentral
CCGGCCAAAGAAGAACAAAGGAAGAAAAGAAAGAACAAGAACCCUAGGUGGAGAAUUUCAAGAGAAAAAGUGUGAAAAAUCAAGGAAAACAAGUGAAAAAAGUAGGAUUUCUCAAUUUAAACUUGAAAUCUAUUUUCCUUAAGCAUUUCUCCUUAUUUUCCAUGGUUAAAUUUCAUAUUUUUAUGGUGAAUUCAUGGCUAGCCGAAUGGGUAUGGAGAGAGAAUGAUGUUGGACUGAUUUGAUUUCAAGUUAUGUUAGUGUUUUUAGUUAGUUUACCAUGUCUAGAAGCAAAACAACAAGAAAAGAAUUCAUUUUUCACAUCACCCAUCAAUGGCCGAACCUAUCUUGUAUUGAGUGAGGAUGAAUUUGAUUUUUUAUUUUAAGAGAAUUGGUUAGAAAAUGAUGAAUUAUGGUGUGGAAAAGUAGUAAGAAAAAUCACGGUGUUAAUGCACCAUUAUUGACCGAAAAUUCUAAGAAGAAAAGUGAAGAUGGUUUUGCCAAAUUUUAGGUUAUUUGACUUAUGUUUGGUGAAUUAAGGUAUUGGAAAAGAAAUGGAGCAAUUUGGAGCUAAAUUGGACACGUUGGCCAAUUAAUCAGGUGAUAAGACGAAUUAGGCUAAUACCGGGUUUAGAUGGUUACCCGUGCAUUUUGCAUUCCAUAUCAUGCAUUAGUAGUCUAAAUUAGUUUAAUUUCGAUUUAGUACCAAUGUAGUAAGUUUCUCAAUUUUGUACUACGUCAAGGUGGUGAGUCCUCCGAUAAAGGCAAGGAAAUUGCAUUCGAGGACCAGUAGUCUAAGUAUUUCGAAAAUCCCGCACUCUAGACAUUGUGAGUAACCUUACUAUCAUCUUAAUUAUCUGAAGUGGUUUUUAUCCGAUUUCAUGAUUUUAUGGAAAAUGAGUUUAAAUGGUAAAUCUUUAUGUUUUAUAAGCAAAAUGUGUUUAAAUGAAAUGAUUUUAUAAAAUUGUCUUGAAAUUGAAUAAUGGCUUUGAAAAUAGAGUAUUGGAGACCAUUUGAUGUAUUGUGAAUUUAUGAUUCUAAUUGAUUGGCUUAUGACAAUAUUGGCAUGAAUGGUUGAAUUGGUAUUUGUGUUGAAAUGUAUAAACUGUUGUUUACCUUGAUAGGCUGGAUAAUGAUAAAGUUGCCAUAUUAUGCUGUUGAAUUUUUAUUGUAUGGUGGGUUUAGCUUGCUGUAGUAGGCUAGUUCUGUGGACGAACCUAUUAGAGGGGCACGAAACCUGGUCAUAUAUAUGUACCUCGAUUGGAGAGGCGUGUAGGGUAACUCCCGAGGUCAAACUUUAGAGUUCACUUCAUGCCUAACCACCACGUGAGGGGAACUCAGUCAACGCCAAGGAACGACUAUGUUUUCAAAAUAAAAACAUGAUUUAUGCGUCCAUAACUUUUUAACAGUCUUGGCGGACUGGGUUGGGAUAGCCCUCGAUCAAGGCAUCCCUGAUAACUGGGUAUAAAAAUGAUUUUGGCACGAGCCAAAGUUUUAAGAAAUUCAUAAGCCAUGUUGAUUACUCAAUUUAUAUGAAUUGAUUUUAUUUGGUUGAAACAAGUUGAAAAGUGAUGAAUUNNNNNNNNNNNNNNNNNNNNNNNNNNNNNNNNNNNNNNNNNNNNNNNNNNNNNNNNNNNNNNNNNNNNNNNNNNNNNNNNNNNNNNNNNNNNNNNNNNNNNNNNNNNNNNNNNNNNNNNNNNNNNNNNNNNNNNNNNNNNNNNNNNNNNNNNNNNNNNNNNNNNNNNNNNNNNNNNNNNNNNNNNNNNNNNNNNNNNNNNNNNNNNNNNNNNNNNNNNNNNNNNNNNNNNNNNNNNNNNNNNNNNNNNNNNNNNNNNNNNNNNNNNNNNNNNNNNNNNNNNNNNNNNNNNNNNNNNNNNNNNNNNNNNNNNNNNNNNNNNNNNNNNNNNNNNNNNNNNNNNNNNNNNNNNNNNNNNNNNNNNNNNNNNNNNNNNNNNNNNNNNNNNNNNNNNNNNNNNNNNNNNNNNNNNNNNNNNNNNNNNNNNNNNNNNNNNNNNNNNNNNNNNNNNNNNNNNNNNNNNNNNNNNNNNNNNNNNNNNNNNNNNNNNNNNNNNNNNNNNNNNNNNNNNNNNNNNNNNNNNNNNNNNNNNNNNNNNNNNNNNNNNNNNNNNNNNNNNNNNNNNNNNNNNNNNNNNNNNNNNNNNNNNNNNNNNNNNNNNNNNNNNNNNNNNNNNNNNNNNNNNNNNNNNNNNNNNNNNNNNNNNNNNNNNNNNNNNNNNNNNNNNNNNNNNNNNNNNNNNNNNNNNNNNNNNNNNNNNNNNNNNNNNNNNNNNNNNNNNNNNNNNNNNNNNNNNNNNNNNNNNNNNNNNNNNNNNNNNNNNNNNNNNNNNNNNNNNNNNNNNNNNNNNNNNNNNNNNNNNNNNNNNNNNNNNNNNNNNNNNNNNNNNNNNNNNNNNNNNNNNNNNNNNNNNNNNNNNNNNNNNNNNNNNNNNNNNNNNNNNNNNNNNNNNNNNNNNNNNNNNNNNNNNNNNNNNNNNNNNNNNNNNNNNNNNNNNNNNNNNNNNNNNNNNNNNNNNNNNNNNNNNNNNNNNNNNNNNNNNNNNNNNNNNNNNNNNNNNNNNNNNNNNNNNNNNNNNNNNNNNNNNNNNNNNNNNNNNNNNNNNNNNNNNNNNNNNNNNNNNNNNNNNNNNNNNNNNNNNNNNNNNNNNNNNNNNNNNNNNNNNNNNNNNNNNNNNNNNNNNNNNNNNNNNNNNNNNNNNNNNNNNNNNNNNNNNNNNNNNNNNNNNNNNNNNNNNNNNNNNNNNNNNNNNNNNNNNNNNNNNNNNNNNNNNNNNNNNNNNNNNNNNNNNNNNNNNNNNNNNNNNNNNNNNNNNNNNNNNNNNNNNNNNNNNNNNNNNNNNNNNNNNNNNNNNNNNNNNNNNNNNNNNNNNNNNNNNNNNNNNNNNNNNNNNNNNNNNNNNNNNNNNNNNNNNNNNNNNNNNNNNNNNNNNNNNNNNNNNNNNNNNNNNNNNNNNNNNNNNNNNNNNNNNNNNNNNNNNNNNNNNNNNNNNNNNNNNNNNNNNNNNNNNNNNNNNNNNNNNNNNNNNNNNNNNNNNNNNNNNNNNNNNNNNNNNNNNNNNNNNNNNNNNNNNNNNNNNNNNNNNNNNNNNNNNNNNNNNNNNNNNNNNNNNNNNNNNNNNNNNNNNNNNNNNNNNNNNNNNNNNNNNNNNNNNNNNNNNNNNNNNNNNNNNNNNNNNNNNNNNNNNNNNNNNNNNNNNNNNNNNNNNNNNNNNNNNNNNNNNNNNNNNNNNNNNNNNNNNNNNNNNNNNNNNNNNNNNNNNNNNNNNNNNNNNNNNNNNNNNNNNNNNNNNNNNNNNNNNNNNUAUAUAUAUAUAUAUAUAUAUAUAUAUAUAUAUAUAUAUAUAUAUAUUCAUCAUCAAGUACACUCUCCCAUCGUCAUCAGCUCAUGUGCACUCCCCAUUAGCACAUGGUUGGGUGAUCAUCGGCUUAUGUACACUCCCCCUAGCACAUAGUCGGGUCAUUAUCGGCUUAUGUACACUCCUACUCGCACAUAGUCGGGUCCACAUCAACAUACAAAGAAGCACCCUAUGCAUAUCAUGCAUAUUAUCAUAUUGUGAUAACACAUAAACUAUUGUAUAGCACAUUUUCACAAUAUAAAAUCACUUCACCAAAGGCUUGUUCCCAAGGUACAUUUUCAAAGGAAAACUGGAUAAAAUCUUUCAAAUGUUUGUACAAUUGCAUUCACAUUCCCAAAACAAAUUUUAAAAUGCAAGUCCACUCAUCGGUAUUUGUUAAGCCUUUAACCGACUCUAACCUCCCUAAUGGUCCAAUUGGGGCUGUGGGACUUCGUUAGAGCCUUGGUAGCUUGUAUUUGAAAUUCUUUCCAAAACUUUCAAGCUAUUUUUGAAGCUUCCCCUUUCACUCUCUAAAACACCUAACUAGUGAGAGAGAGUAUGAAAAUAAGAUUUUUUCAAGGGUUUUAAGGAGAGAGAGUGGAAGAGCACAAGGGUUUAUGAAAAAGGUGCACCAAAAGCAUGAAAUUUAAAACUAUUUGAGGAAGGUUGUAGAGCUUUCUUAUCAAGCUUUUAUGGAGGUUGGGAAACAACGUGAAAGAGAAGAAGAAGAAGAAGAAGAAGAAGAAAAUUUGCUAGAGAAUGUAGAAGCUGCUGGAAGAAAGAGAUAUUUAUAGCCCAAGCUUAUCAAUUCCACUUAAAUUACCAAAAUGCCCUUCCACAAAUUAGCUUAUUCUCUUCAAUCUUUUAUGCAAUAUUUUUACUCUUUUGACACAGGGACAAGGUCCAUAAUGGUCUAGAAAUGCUCUGGUUCAUGAAAACUUAAAAAUUCUAACCCAAGGUGAAAAAUGACCAUUUUGCCCCUACCAUGAAAAUCAUCAAAAGUUUUAUUUUCUUGUCAUUUUACCCACAUUUUCAUCAUUCAUUUAUGCGUUAGGCCUACUUAGGCUAUAAUAUUGUUUAAAAUCUUACUUUUAUGAGCUUACUAAGGAAAUGAUGAAAUUACCCCUAAUUAGGGAUAUCACGUAUAUUACUAACUAUGAGUCUAUAAAGGUUAAGGUCUCACAAUAGUCUUCCUGCCUUUGGUUGGUGGUUUUGCCUCAGUUGGUGGUGUUGUAGUGGCUUUAGCUUUUUCUGCUUUUGCCUUUACUCUGGUAGUUGAUGCAGGUUUCUUUUUUUCUCCUACAUCUUCACCAUUCUUUUGAGUUUUUGUCCUAGUAGUGUCUUUCUCAGCUUGUCCCUCCUUAACCAUUUGGUUGAAGACAUCCAUAAUGGAAACUUUCUCUAAAUUUGGAGGAAAGGCUUGCUGUUUCUCUAUCCCUGAACUAACUACUUCUGUCCCUUGUUCUGAAUCAUUUUUGCUUUGAGGUUCAGAAGAGGAUGUCUUGGUUGUCUGAUCCAACCUUUGAGGAGAGUCUUCAAUUUACAGAAUAGGACUGGCAGACUUGUAGGUGGAACCUUCAACUUGAAAGCCAGAACUUUCAACAUGAGGAGCAGAUUUUUCUGCUAGCUCAGUUGAACCUUUAGCACCUUGCUGUGUUGGUGCAGUGCUAGAUGUUGCAGAGUUGUCUGCAGCCACAAGUUCAGAUGGAAUGCUUUCCUUCUCCUUCAGCUUGUUUUUCAACUCAGUGAUUUUCUCUUUAAUUUUCUGUAUCUUUUCUCCUUGGUCAGUCAACUUUCCAUCAAUCCUUAUGAGCAAAUUAAAAAUUACUUCAUUUGAGAAUCUGGAAAGGGCUUCUUCAAGUUGAGCUAGUAGGCUGUGUUCUUUUCUUGGACCAGUCUUGGGGGUCUUAAUAAAUUUUUCCCCAUCGAGUAUAUACCCCAUUUUAACCAAGCUCCUAUAAUAAAUAGCUUGAUCUCUGGUUUUUAUUAGGUCCAAAUCAUACCUCUUUGCCCAUAUUCCCUUCUUUUGCACCAGGGAUGUAAUUACAUUCCCAUACGGCAUAUUAACCUUAUCAAGUCUGCAGGCACUUCUUAUUUUUUCAAUCAUAAAUCUUCUCAGAUUCAGAGGUACCUCGUUGAAGGCAUGCUCCAUUAGCUAGAGGUCUUGGAGGCUAAUGUAGCUAAGGCUUCCACUUCUACCUUGAAUGUUGGCUAUUGUAAAAUAGUGUAAAAUCCUAAUCUGAGGACUGAUUAUCAGACUUGAAUUGCUUUUUGAAGAAUAUUUUUCUUUUCUUCUAGUGAUGAUCUCCUGCAAUGAGGAUGGAUCAUAUUUUUCAGGGAACUCAUACUCUCAUUCUUUGCAUUCUAUUUCCUGCAAAUUUCCUAAAUCUUCAACAGUCACAAUAAAUUCUUUUCCAUUUAGAUAAACAUUCAGACUAUCUUCAUCAUAAUCAUCAGAAUCUAUUAAUUCUUUUCCUUUCAAAGCAAUACCAAAAUAUAAAUCUUUAACCAGACUUGGACUAUAAGACCUAUUCUUAAAGGUGUUGCAACCUUUUAGUUUCAGUUCAUCAAAGUACUCAAAUAAACUAGUUUGGAUUUCAAUAUUAUCCUUAAAACUCUUCCAAUCAAUAAAUUUUCCACUGGAGAUUGGUGCAUUCUUGAUAUUCUUGAACUUAUAUUCAUGCAACUUAUUCCUAAAUUUUGAAAAAGAAGAACUAGUACUUUUGUGGAGUGAGGGUUUUGUAUCUUUCUUCUUCUCAGUUUUUUACUUCUUUUCUCUUAGUUUUUUGAAUUUUUUUUCACUGAACCAGGCAUGAUUUUUAGUUUCUUCUUCAGACUUUCCGUUCCUGUUCUUUCCUCCAUUGGCCAUUUCCCUUUCUUCUUUUCUAAUAUCUCUUGACCCUGAGAUGUUUUAGCCAUAUUGGUUCCAGAAAUUUUUGAGGGUUUGAGUCGAUUUCAGAGGCAAACAGGAAGAUUAAGGUGUUGUUUUUAGAGCAACAAGUUUCAGGGGAGAGGAAAGAAGAGGUAGUUAACAGUUAUUACUCAAAAAAAUUGCUCACCUUCCCUUAAGUACUACCCUACUUUUAUUUCUUCAUAAUUUUAAAUUUCCCUAUAAAAAUUUGGUUAUUUACCUUUGGCAGUAUUUCUUCAUUCUUUUUGCACCCGGUAAACCCAAAUUUUUACCACAUUUUACUCUUCUUUCUCUAAACUCACUGAGUCUUAUUAUAUAAAGCUGUUAGACCACUCUUAGUUGACUAAGAAAUCCUUAGUCGACUAAAUGCAUUCUGUUUUCUAUGUGAGAGCCAAAGGUUUUCUUAUAAUUCCUUCACAUUGAUCAUCCCUAAAUUUCUUCUAAUCUCACAGAAUCUAUCUUCACUCAGGGGUUUCAUAAAAAUGUCUGUUAAUUGAUGUAAAGUAUUCACAAAUUCUAUCUUAAUAUCAUUUUUCACUACAUGGUCUCUAAUAAAAUGGUGUCUAAUUUCAAUGUGCUUUGUCCUAAAGUGCUGCACAGGGUUUUUUGAUAUAUUGAUUGUACUUGUGUUAUCAUAGUAUAUUGGUACAUUAUGCAUAAUUAUUUCAUAGUCUUUUAAUUGUUGCUUGAUCCAAAGGAUUUAUGCACAGCAACUUCCGAAUGAUACAUAUUCAGCCUCUGCUAUAGAUAAUGCCACUGAAUUUUGCUUCUUGCUGGACCAAGAUACAAGCAUGCUUCCUAAAAUUGGCAUGUUUCACUAGUGCUUUUCCUAUUAGUUCGGCUGCCAGCAAAGUCAGCAUCUGAAUAUCUAACUAAGCUAAGAGUUGAGUCUCUAGAGUACCAUAUUCCUAGUCCUUGAGUGUCUAUGAGGUAUCUAAAAAUUCUCUUAACAGCUAUUAGGUGUGUUUCUUUAGGCUAUAACUAAAAUCUAGUACACAAGCACACACUAAACUGAAUAUCUGGUCUACUUGCUGUUAAGUAGAGAAGAGAGCCGAUCAUACCUUUAUAGAGCUUUGGAUCUACAUUCUUACCUUUUUCAUCUAAGUCGAGUUUUGUUGAUGGACUCAUUGGAGUGGAAAUUGAUUUCAGCUUCAGCAUAUCAAAUUUCUUGAGCAUAUCAUGAGUGUAUCUUUCUUGGUUGAUGAAGAUUCCUUCUUCACUUUGUUUGAUUUGAAGACUAAAGAAGUACCUCAACUCUCCCAUCAUGCUCAUCUUAAACUCACCUUGCAUUUCCUUAGCAAAGUUCUUGCAUAAGCCUCAUUAGUUGCACCAAAUACAAUGUCAUCCACUUAUAUUUGCACAACAAUUAAAUCAUUUAGAUAUCUUUUAAUAAACAAUGUAGUAUCAAUGCUACCUCUAUCAUACCCUUUCUCAACUAGAAAUUUUGAAAGCCUCUCAUACCAAGCUCUAGGAGCUUGUUUCAAUCCAUACAAGGCUUUUAUGAAGUUUGAAAACAUGAUCAGAUUUUUCAAAGUCUUCAAAACCAGGUGGUUGUUCUACAUAUACUUCCUCUUGAAUUAAUCCAUUCAAGAAUGCACUUUUUACAUCCAAUUGGAACAAUUUAAAAUUCAUGAAACAUGCAAAAGCUAGCAACAACCUUAUGGCUUCAAUCCUAGCAACAAAAGCAAAGGUUUCAUCAUAAUCAAUUCUUUCUUCUUGGUUGAAUCCUUUUGCUACCAACCUAGCUUUAUUUCUAACUACAUUUCCUUGCUUAUCUACCUUAUUUUUAAGUACCCAUUUUGUACCAACAAUAGGGUGAUUUGAAAGUCUAAGUACCAAUGACCAUACACGACUCUUUGUGAAUUGAUCAAGUUCUUCUUGCAUGGCCAUUAUCCAACUUUCCUCUUUUUCAGCUUUUUCAAAGUUUUUAGGUUCAAUUUGAGAUAUAAAAGCUGAAAACUCACAAGUUUCUCUAGUUGCUUUCCUAGUUUUAACUCCUCGUGAAAUGUCACCUAUUAUUUGAUCUUGUGGGUGAUCUCUUACUAAUAUCCAACUCCUUGGUAGAUCAUCAUGCUGAUUUUCUACUAUUUGCAGAUUUUAUAGAGGUAGAGUUUCAUUUUCUCUUCUAGGUGAGCUUUUUUCAUUAUUUUUGUUGUUUUGUAAGCUCAUUUCCUCCAUUUGUUUUUCUAGGACUUCUACACCAUCAUCAUCAUCAUCAUGAACUUUUUUUUCUAAAGCAUUUGACUCAUUAAAAACUACAUGAACUGAUUCUUUAACGAUUAAGGUCCUUUUGUUAAAAACUCUAUAAGCUUUUGUGUUUAAUGCAUAUCCUAAAAAUAUUGCUUCAUCACUCUUUGCAUCAAACUUUCCUAGGGGCUGUUUUCCAUUGUUUAAUACAAAGCAUUUAUAGCCAAAACUCUUAAGGUGAGAAAUAUUUGGUUUCCCACCUUUAUAAAGUUCAUAUGGAGUCUUUGAAAUCAAAGGUCUUAUUGAGACUCUAUUAAGAAUAUAAGCUGUUGUAUUUACUACCUCAGCCUAAAGAUAUUUAGGUAGGUUGUUCUCACAUAGCAUGGUCCUAGCCACUUCUUUUAAGGUUCGAUUUUUCCUCUCUACAACUCCAUUUUACUGGGGUGUUUUAGGUGUAGAAAAAUUAUGAUCCAACCUUUUUUCAUUGCAAAACUUUUCAAACUCAUCAUUUUCAAAUUCUCCUCCAUGAUCACUCCUCAUGCUAACUAUAUCUAGUCCUUUUUCAUUUUGUACUUUCUUACAAUGACUUAAGAAUGCUUGUAGAGCAUCAUUCUUAUGAGCAAGAAAAUACACCCAAGUAUGUCUAGAAUAGUCAUCAACUAUUACAAAUCCAUAAGAUUUUCCUCCUAAGCUAGUUGUGCUUAUUGGACCAAAAAGAUUAAUGUGUAACAAUUCAAGAGGUCUAGAUGUUGACACUAUCUUCUUAGUCUUAAAGAAUGUUCGAACUUGUUUUCCUAGUUGGCAAGCAUCACAUAUCCUAUCAUUUUCAAAUUUUAAAUCCGGCAGCCCAACCACUAAAUUCUUUUUAAUCAAUUUUGACAUAGAAUGCAAACUUACAUGUCCUAAUCUUCUGUGCCAUAACCAGCUAUCAUUUUCAGCACUUACAACAAGACAUACUUCACUAUUUACUCCAAGAUCUUCGAGAAAAAUUACAUACAUGUUCUUCAAUCUUUUUCCUAUAAAUGAGAUUUUAUUUAUACUUAUAUCUAUCACUUCACACUUAGUUGAAUCAAAACAUACUUUAAAUCCUUUAUCAUAUAAUUGACUAAUACUUAGUAAAUUAUGCUUUAAGCCUUUAACCAACAACACAUGACUUAUUUGAGUUUAGGAAUUCUUACUAAUCGUACCUAUACCAUGGAUGCUUCCUUUUGAAUCAUCUCCAAAGGAUAUGGUUCCUCCCUUUCUCUUAUCCAGUUGAGCAAAUAACAUUUCAUGUCCUGUCAUGUGCCGUGAACAGCCACUGUCCAAGUCCCAAGACUGUUUCUUCUUGAGUUGAGCUCUUGAACAUGUCUUCUUUGAGUCCAACUCAACUUACAAAACAGAAUUACAGUUUUUCUAUAUAGGUACCCAUACUUUGAUGGGUCCUUGAGUGUUAGUUGCUGUCAAGCCCAGCCCUAUAAUAUACUUGCCAUGUCAUUCAUGUAUUGACAACAUGCUUGCAUACUUGAAUACCUCGAAAAAACCGUCAAAAGUCGGUAGUGUACCAAUGGUACAACUAAGUUGAUUUAAGCCUCGAACUAGUUCAAAUAAAAAUUUUAAGAUGCAAUUGAGAGUUAUUGAAUCUUAGAAUGACUCAAUAUGGUGAUUCGGAGUUUAGGGAUUGAUUUGGAGUUAAAUUGGAAUUUUUAUAACGUAGGGGUAAAAUUGUCAUUUUUCCACCUGAGGGCAAAUUUGGGAUGGUGGAUGAAAUUUUGAUGAAGUUUGACUAUUUGGAACAUAAUUUGAGCUUGAGAAGUGAAAAAUUUUAAUUCCGAUAAUUUUUCAAACAUUAGGGCAAAAAGGUCAUUUCACGUAUCCACAAGGACGUAAUUAGAAUUUUUGAAAUUUUACACCACCUUGACACUUGUCAAACCCAUGAAAUUCAUUUUAUACUUUGGAUAAUUGAGGGAUUUUAUGUGGUGGAGAAGAAAUGCUUAAUUAUUAAGUUUUAUGCGUCGACCAAUCACACGGUGACAAGUGUCAAGCUUUAAUAUUAUUAUAUUUUCCUUUAUAAACACAACUAAAACUCUCCCAUCUCAUUUCUCUUGGCCGGCCAAGGCAAGAACAAAAGGGAAAAAGCAUAGAACAAACCCUAGAGAAGAAAAUCAAGAGAAAAUUCAUUGGAUUUCAAGGAAUUAAGCAAGUAAAGGUAAAAUUUCUUAAUUCUAGCUUGUGAUCUACCUUUCCUAUGCAUUCUUUUUCAAUUACAAUGGUUAAAAUUCAAGAUCUCAUGAAGGAUUCAUGGCUGACCGAAUUUAGGGAGAGAAGAUUUGAUGAUUUAUUUGGUUAGAUUUCAAGGUAUCUUAGUGUUUUUAGUUGUUUGGUGAUGUUUAGCAUGAAAAACAAGCAAGAAAUUUCAUGCCCUUCACCCACACUCCUUGGCUGAAAUUUUCAAGAGAGAAAUUGGAUAAUGGACUUUGAUGAAUUUCAUGCUAUUUAGGUGUUUUUAGUUGUUUUAUGAUGUAAGGUGUAAAAAUCAAGCAUGAAAAUUACAUGUUCUACACUAAACCUUCAAUGGCCGAAUUUUACAAGGAAGAUAUUGAUGAUGGAUUUUUGUGAUAUUACAUAUUAUUUAACUUGUAAUUGAUGACUUGGAGUGUUGGAAGUGGAAUCAAGUUAAUUGGAGUUGAAUUGGAUGUAUUGGCCAAUUAACCGGUGUAUAGAUCGAAUUAGGCCAAUACCAUUUUAUUUCGAUACAUAAUUGAAGCUACGUAGAACACCAUAUUUAGAUAAUAAUCCGAACAUUUCGCAUCCCAUUUCAUGCAUUCAUAUAGAGCCUAAAUUAGUUUUAUAACGGUUUAGUACAAAUAUAGUAAAUUGCUUGUUGUGCAUUAUGUUUAGGUGGUGAAACUUCCGAUAAGGGUAAGGAAAUUGUACCUGAAGAUUGGGACUAGGAGUACUUCGACUCUCGAUAUUGUGAGUAACCUUAUUAUCGUCUUAAUUAUCUAAAGUAGUUUUUAUUCGUUUUUGUGAUUUUAUAGAAAAAUGAGUUUAAAUGGUAAAUCCUUAUGUUUUAUAAGUAAAAUGUGAUUAAAUGAAAUGAGUUUUAUAAAUCAUUUUGAAAUUGAAUGAUGAUUUUAGAAAUUGAGUAAUUGGAGACUGUUUGAUUGUGUUGUAAAUUUAUGGUUUGAAUUGAAUGGCUUAUGGUGAUAUUGGCAUGAAUGGCUGAAUUGGAAAUUGUGUUGAAAUUGUAUGAACUGUUUGUUUUGCCUUAACAGGCUGGGUAGUAAUAUAAUUGCCAUGUCAUGCUGUCAAAACUUUUAUUGAUUUGGUGGGAUAUUGAUUAGUCACUACAGUGGCGGGUUUCCGUGGACCAGCCUAUUAGAGAGGGGCACGAUAAACCCGGUUAUAUUUUAUCUCGGUACGAGAGGUGCAGAAGGUAUCUCCUGAGGUAAGUUUUAGAGUUCACUACACGCUAAACCACCACGUGAGGGUGAACUCAGCCAACACCAAGGAACGACUAUGCUUUUAACGUAAAAAUGUGUUUUAUGCAUAUAUGAACUUUUCUUUAACAGCCUUAGCGGACUCGGUUGGAUACCUCAACAAAGGUAUCCCCGAGAAUGAGUUUUGGCACGAGCCAAAUUUUUAAGAAAUUCAUAAGCCAUGUUGAUUAUUUGAGUGAAAUGAAAUUAUUUUAUUUAGUUGAAAUGAGUUUGAAACGUUAUGAAUCAUAGUACGAUGAACUAUUUUAAGUUGUCUCCAUUUACUCGACUUUAGAUAUUUUAGAUGAUGUUUGUUUACUCACUGAGUUUAUAUAAACUCACCACCCUCCUUUCCACUCAUUCCAAGAUCAGGACAGUCUGUAGAUAGCUGAUUUCAUCGAGGAUCUACUUUAGGAUUUACAUCCUUAGAAAUCAAAGGUCUACCUUCUUGUACAUAUUUGUUUAUUUUGGGGGCCCACAUGUCAUUGUAGAAUAUUUUGUAUACAUGGCUGCGUGUGCCAUUGUAUGUAUGAAUAUAUUUUGCUUUUACGCUAGAAAAAUUAUUUACGUAGAGUUCUAUAAAUAUUGUUUUAUAAGAAAAUGGAAUAUUUCAUUUAAUAUUUUUAUUUUAUUCGAUUAGCUACAAUUUCACCCUAAAUGAAUGUUUUAGACAUAAAAACUUUUUUUUAGUUAUGAAAUGUGUAUUUUCCCCUAUAUAUUAUAUUUUCAGCAAGUUUCAAAAUUUUUGAGAAAAAUGACCAAAAUGCCCUUGUGAGAUAGAAAAUAUUUUUUUUUAUUAUUGUUUUGAUUUGGAAAUAGCUUAUAAUCUUUUAAAAUAUGAUAUUUAGUAAUUAUUGCUCACAAGGGAGGUGCGAAAACUGAUAUUAAGCCUUGCGAGAUUUCGGUUGGCAUUUAGGGUAAUGAAUGUCUAUCGGGACAUCGCGACGAUUGUCACGGGCUUGAGGAGAGUACCGGGUCAUGACAGUUGAACAAAAGAUCCCUUAGGAACCCAGACUUUCUUAACUUUCUGCACUAUUCAUUUCUUAAAACACUCAUAUGAUAAAUGACCAUGUUUACCACAAUUAUAACAUCUAGGUAAUACUUUAGCUGAAUUUUUAUUGUGGUAUACAUCUCUUUUUGAAGAUUCAUUUUUCAAACAUUUAAGAGCUGUGUUUUCAUUAAGAAUUAUUUGCAAAGCUUCAGACUUGUUUUUCAGCUCUUGUUUUAAAACCUCAAAGUCUGUUUUUGAGUGUUCUAACUCAACUUGCAAAAUAUUUCUUUGCUAAAAAACAUAAGUAACUUCUUGUUUGAUUUGUUCCAAAUCAUUUUCAAGUAAUGCAGCCUUUUUCUUCAAUGAUUUGUAUUUUGAAAAAAGUUUUUCAAAUUCAUCAUAAAGGCACUCAUACUCAUCUUGUAAAUCAUCAUAAGAAUUAAUGCAGGAGGAUGAGGAUACCUCUAUUUCAUCCUCUUGUGCCAUUAAACAGAUGUUUGUUCUUUCCUCAAAUUUUCCAUCAUCAGUUUCAGAGCUUGAUGUGUCAUUGUUUGACCAUGCAGCUGCCACCAUUGCUUUCUUGGGUUUCUUAUUUUUCUUGGGAGUUUCAUCUUUCAGCAAUGGACAUUCGGACUUGAAGUGACUAGGUUUCUUGCAUUCGUAGCAGAUCAUCUCCUCUUUUUUGUUGGAGCCAUUUUUGUUCCUUAUUUUCCAUGAAGCACCUUGAUCUUUCCUGAAACCUCUUCUAGCUAGCCUUCGGAUUCUUCUGCUCAUUAGCUUUCUGAAUUUUCUUGCAACCAGAGCUAAUUCUUCAUUAUCAUCACAGGAAAGCUAUUCCAACUCUUCUUCAAGGAUGUUGGCUUUAAGUGCAAUACUCUUUUUCUUUUCCUUUACUUCCUUUCGGUCUUCUUCUUCUUCUUCUUUAAGCUCUAGCUCAUGAGUAAGACGAAAACCACAAAUCUCAGCAAGUGUGAUGAUGUUCAGAUCUUUAGCCUCUCUAAUGGCAGUCACUUUAGGCUUCCAGUUUGUUGGUAGACUCCUAAGUAGUCCCUUAACUAAUUCAUGUUUAGGGAUAGGCUUGCCUAGCUGACUCAAUUUAUUUGUGAUGUUUGUAAACCUAUCAAACAUGCUGGUGUUAAGAGAGCAAUUUUGGACUCCUUUACUUGAGAAGUCCCUUCAUGGAUUAUUCUAAGUUUUCCCACACUUGUUUAGCUGUUGUAUAGCUUGAGACUUUGUUAAAUUCAGUGGGGGUUAAUGCACAAUGUAAUGUGUUGAUAGCCUUAAAGUUUAUUUGAACUUUCUUAGUUUCAGCCUCAAUCCAUUCAGACCUUGGCUUAGGCAUCAACUCAUUUGUCACCACAUUCACGGUUGAGGACAUAAAGGGUCCAUCAGUUAUGACGUCCCACAUUUCAUAGUCUAUAGCUUUAAUGUAAAUUGAUAUUUUACUGCUCCAAUAAGGGUAAUUAGAGCCAUCAAACAGAGGUGGUCUAUUUGUUAAUUGUCCCUCAGCCCCUACUGAUUUUUGGAAAGCCAUAUGGAUCCUCCAUAAGGAUGUUAAGCCUUAAUAACAGGGAACUAGCUCUGAUACCAAUUGUUGGUCCCUAUAAUAUGUGCUAGAGGGGGGGUGAAUAACACAAUUUGGCUUUUAACAAUAUUGGAAGAUAAUUUUCAAAACUUAAGAAAAUAAAAACAGAGUAUAAAAUGCACAGCAAUUUAGAGUGGUUCGGUCCAAGACCUACAUCCACUACCUUGAUUGUCCAACCAAGGAUUUUUCCAUAAAUUCACUAAGAACCGGUGAAACUCACAAGCUUUCACCAAGCUUUACAAUGGCUUUUACUAGGCUCAGCCACAACCUUUUACACUAGUUUUUCAUGGGCUUAACUAAAACCUAGAGUGGUUUUCCAAGGCUCAACCACAACCUACAACAAUCAAGCUAUUCCAAGCUUGAACAACCCCUUAGAGUGACUCCCUCACUCUAAGAAUACAAAAGAAAUAGUAAAAGAAGGUACCUAUGAUCACUGGUUGAUCUGAGUGGUACACGAUUGAGUGCUAAAUACAAAUGCACGGACUAGGCGUUUAAGUGCAGACAAGUGCAGUGAAGCGUUUUUGGUUUUUCAACUUUCUAUAGCUCAAAUCUCUUUCAAGGCUUCUCUAAACUUGUUUCUAGUUGUUGGAAGACCCUUUUAUACUUGGAGAUGCAACUUUAAUGGCAGUUUGACAGUUUAUGGCCGUUGAAAACAGUUGAGGAUGAGUUCUAGCUGUUAAUCUGUCUUGUAGUGCUCUGGUUCAAAUUGCAGAUAAAGAGCUUUUAGUUGAUUGACUUGGUUGACUAAGUUGGUUCUGUUUCAGGUUGCAGAUUCUGGCAGAGAGCAGUUAGUCGACUGAUUUGGUCGACUAAGUUGAUUCUGUUUCUCAAACUCUUCAGCCCGUUAUUCCUCCAAUUUGAAACUUGGUCAACCAAUCUUCUUCCUUGUUUCAUCAAUAGGCUUCCCCCUUUUUAGAUAGUUACAUCUUGUCAUUUUUAUUUCUCUUUUUCUUUUGAUAAACUCUUUGAGGAGUUAAAUGAUUAAUUUCAUAUAUCAAUUUUCCUGCACACUCAAAUAAAGAUAUUAGACACAAAUGAAUGAAAAUAUUUUAUUAUUAUUAAAAACUAAUGGAGCCAAUAGGAGGAUGAAGAAUGCUACAUGAUCAUAUUAUUAUGCCAAGUUAUUAUGUCAUGUCAUCAUGAGUUAUAAUACGUUAACAUGUCAUAUUAUUAUUAAUUAUGAUAUAUUAACAUGCCAUGUCAACACCGCAUGACAUAGAAUAGCAAAUGGUUAAGUCAACCAUUAGUCAUAAGACUUAUUUGACUCAAAAUAAAAGUAUAAGAGCUUGUUUGGCUCAAAAAUAAAAGUUUAAGGGCUUGAUUGAACGUAAUAAAAGUAUAAAAACUUACUUGAAUAUUCUUAAAUAAUUUAAGGACUUUUUGAAUAUUAUACCUUAAAAUAAAGUAAAAAAAAGAUAACCAAACAAUGCAAUUAGGGUAGAAAUGUGCAAUCUUCUUUCUUUGGAUUGGGCUGGUAAUUGGAAAAAUGAUAAACCUCCAAGAGGGCUUUAGUUUGAGUCAAGCUUGAUUAGGCUGAAAGGGCCUAAUUCCUUCAUUCUUUUUUUUUUCUUUUUUUUCUCCCUUUGCCCAAACUAUGUCAUUUUGGUAUAGCCCUUUUUAUUUUUUUUCAUUCCCCCACUUUUGCCCUUUUCUCUUCCCUUUUCCAAACCACUCUGCAUUAAAAAAUCUAGUGUCGGCUAAAACAACCUUUAGAAUGGCUAGAACCAUGCUUAAGACGCGUUGGAAAUGACCUCAUAGUAGUUCACUAAAUUUACUUAUUAGACAUUUAAACAUUAGAAGUAGAGUUUUUAUUUUGGAGAUCUCAUAUACUUUUAAAACAAAAGACAUAAAAAUUAAAGGAAAUUGUUAGAAAUAGUCCUACUGAUAAGACCAUUUCAAAAAUAGCCAUCAAUAUAAAGUUAAACUGUUAUUACACAAGCCAUAAGUUGACAAAAUUGCCCUUAAAGAAUUUCAAAGAAAUUAAUCUCCUGAUUUCUCCCUCUUUUCAUAUAGAGAAAUUAAAUGCUUUGUCAGCUAUCUCAACUCCCUAAGCUCCCUCAAUUCUCGUACCUCUCUCUGCUCCCUCAAUUUUCUCAUAUAUCUCAACUCUAUCAGAUCCUUGAGUUAUCUUAGCUCUCUCAUAUCUCUCAGCUCUUUCUUACCAUCUAGGUAUCUUUAAUUUGAGCACCAUCAUCAUCGCGCUUUGGUUUAUCUCUUACCAUCUUGCCAUAUCGACAUAUCGUCGUCGAUAUUGUGAGGCCCCAACCUCUAUAGGCUUGUAACUAAGCAUUGAUGUAAUAACACGAGUUAGGGGUAGUUUCAUCAUUUCCUCUAAUAAGCUCCCAGAAAAUUUUUUUAUUAUAUUUUAAGGUCUAAAUAGGCGUGAGACUGCAUAAAUGAUGUGUAAUAAUGAAAACACGAAGAAAACUAGAAGUUUCAAUAAUUUUCAUAAUAGGGGCAAAAUGGUCAUUUUUCACCUCGGGUUAGAAUUUUUAAGUUUUCAUGAACUCAAACAUUUCUAGACCAUUAUGGACCUUGUCCCAGUGUCAAAAGAGUAAAAAGAUUGCAUAAAAGAUUAAAGGAGAAUAAGCUAAUUUGUGGAGGGGUAUUUUGGUCAUUUAAGUGGAGUGGAUAAGCUUGGGCUAUAAAUAUCCCUUUCUUCCAGCAGCUUCUACAUUCUCCAACAGCUUUUCUUCUGCUUCUUCUUCUUCUCUUUCACGUUGCUUCCCAACCUCCAUGAAAGCUUGAUAAGAAAGCUCCACACCUUCCUCAAAUAGCUCCAAAUUUCAUGCUUUUGGUGCACCUUUUCAAUAAACCCUUGUGCUCUUCCAUUCUCUCACUUUAAAACCCUUGAAAAAUCUUGUUUUCAUACUCUCUCUCACUAGUUAGGUGUUUUAGAGAGAGAAAGAGGAAGCUUUAAAAUAGUUUGGAGAAUUAUUGGAAAGGAUUUCAAAGUUUUAAAGCUAUUAAGGUGAGUAGUAAAUUUGAGUUGAAAUUUAGUGUUGAGAAUAACUAGAGAUUUGAUUUGUGAAUAUUUUGUAGUUGAGAUUGUUAAUUCACUUUGGAAUGAUAGGAUAGUGAAAAUAGAUAGCCAUUUAAUGGCCAUUUGAAGUAAGCUAAGAGAAAGCUUUUGGACUAUAUAAGUAUGUGAAUUAACAUAAUUUUGAUGUUAAUGUGAUGAUACGUUCCAACGAAGCCACAUCGUCCCAAUUGGACUAUUAGGGAAGUUAGAGUCGAUUAAAGGCUCAAUAAACAUCAGUGAGUGGACUUGCAUUUUAAUAACUGUUUUGGGAAUGUAAACUUAUUUGCACUAUAUACUUGAAUAAUUUCAUUUGAUUUUCUUUAAAAACGAGUGCUUUGGGAACAAGCCUUUGAUAAAUUGAUUUUAUGAUGUGACAUGUGGUUGUUAUGGAUGGUUGAACUACUACACUAUNNNNNNNNNNNNNNNNNNNNNNNNNNNNNNNNNNNNNNNNNNNNNNNNNNNNNNNNNNNNNNNNNNNNNNNNNNNNNNNNNNNNNNNNNNNNNNNNNNNNNNNNNNNNNNNNNNNNNNNNNNNNNNNNNNNNNNNNNNNNNNNNNNNNNNNNNNNNNNNNNNNNNNNNNNNNNNNNNNNNNNNNNGAGAGAGAGAGUGUAUAUAUAUAUAUAUAUAUAUAUAUAUAUAUAUAUAUAUAUAUAUAUAUAUAUAUAUAUAUAUAUAUAUAUAUACAUAUACGGUAUAUGGUUGUAAUGUAAAAAUGUGAGCAUUUGAAUUGUUGAAAUUUGGGAGUUUGUAUGUGUUACAUGUUGCUUUUGUUAUUUUAGCAAGAUGGCUUUGAUUUAAGGGAAAAGGAAACUUUUUUCUUAAUGUUUUGAUUCUUGUUGCAGUUAGAAACUCUCAGGUUUGGAGGGGUGGUGUUGGUCGAGAAUCUGGCUGCAGCGAGAAUGUUACUGUAGCAUCUCGCUGCAGCGAGAAACUUUCUGUUUUAGAACCCAAAAAUUUCACUGAAUCUCGCUGCAGCAAAAAACUCUCUGUUUUUCUCCUCAUUUGGUUCGGUUGCUACCCUAUUUUCUAUUUCUUUGGUACCAUAGUUGAGCAUGGACUUCCAACAUUAAGGAAUAAAUGAAUUAAGUUUAAAAUGAGGAGGUUUGGUGAGAAACCCUCGGCUAGACAAUAAUUUAAGUCAACUGUCGUUGCAGCGAGGACCCGUCAUUUAUUUGACUUGAUUCACAUGAAUGCUAUUAAAGUUUUCACUUUUCAAAUCAUUUGUUGAGCAUGGACUCUUUUCAAUAAGUGAUUUUUUCUCAUGUGGUGUUUACACGAGGGGUUUAAUAAGAACUCAAAUAAAUUGCAUUGUUUUGAAAAAUGAAUACAUUAUGAUUUCGUUAAACAUUCCUUAUGGUAUGCUUAUUCCCUUCUUAUUCACUCAUUGGGUUUAUACUCACCAUUUUCAACUUCAUGUUUUCAGAUCACAAGGCAGCUGGUAACUAGGUCAAAGUGUCUUCAUAUAUUCGACCCUUGGUAGGUGUCUCGGCAUUCAGUAGCUGUACAUUCGUCCGAGUCUCUCCGCUGGAAGUCGAGUAUUCUUUUGUUGUGUAUAGACAAACCUAAUGUAAAUUAUUAAGAUACAUGUUGUAGACAAUGUAUAUACACUUGUUUGGUAUGCCAGUAUGAGGUGGCAAUGUUUAAUAUUAUUUUGAUCCUAAGUUAUGAAAUGUGACUUAGCAAUUUAUGAUGGAAUGAUGAACACAUCAGAUUAAUAGGCUUGCUUAGGCUUAGUGGACUACAUCCAUUGGGCCCAUGCGUCCGUCAUGGCUCGAAAUUUGGGUCGUGACAAAUAUAUAGACCUAAGAGUAAAUAUGACAUUAAGGUAUGUUAUUGGGUUUAUUACUUUUGACAGAACCACAAAGUUGAUGGAAAACCCACUCCAAUCAUUUCUUAAACUUUGUUUGUAAAUUAAAACGUUGCCUAGAGUUGUUACACACAAUGCUUGUAUGUAAUAGCUUUAAUGCACAUGGUGUGUAAAACAUAGAGUGAACGUUGCAUGGUGUGUAACAUCAUAUUUUGUGUACAUGGUGUGUAGUAAACAUGUUGUGUAGGAAAAUGGAUGAACAUGGCGUCUAGAAAUUUGUUUUUUGUUAACAUGGCAUGUAAUAACGUUUUUUCAAUAUGAUGUGUAGCAACAUUUUAGAACUUGGAGUGUGUAUGGUUGCUGAUAAAUUGAUUUAUUUUUUUCGAUUUAGGAGAAUACAGUUAACGAUGUAUGCCUAUUACAGGUAACAUAAAUUGCUUACGAGCACUUGCAAGCUGUUUGCAGUGAACUUUCUUUCAUCAUUCAAUACUCGAUAAUUAGUGGUUGUGAAAAGAGAAGAAAAUUGCUAUUUUUGUUAUGUAGGGAAAAACAAGCCCAUUGAUUACCAUGUCUUGUGCGAUGAUGAAAAAACUAGUAUCAGAUAGAAUAAGCAUAUCAUAAUAUUAACAGGAAAGCCUAGUUGACUUGGAUUUCGGCAUGAGAUAAAAAUAAAAAUUUGUGGGGUGUUAAAUGGUACUAUGAAUAUCAAACCUACCAAAUUUUUUUGAACAUGACGUGUAAGAAUAAAAUGUUUUCAAUGGAGCAUGUACAAAAUUUUAAAACAGGCAUGUAGCAAUGUAAUGUGUAAAUGUAUUUUGACCUUUAUUUUUUUUUACAUUAUAGUAGUAUACCAAUUGUGUGACUUGUGAUAAGACACGGUGGUCAUUAGAUCAAUGUCAUUUACAAGGGUGGUGAGUCACAAAUGUUGGGGGUUAGGAGUGAUUUGUCGUUUGGGGGCCUAAUGAAGUUGGUAGAAAAUGUUGUUGGGGUACAUUCAUAGAAACACAAAAUCGAGUUACAUGCAUUAAUUAGUAUACUGGGAAAGCUAUCACGACUAGUUAUCAAGGAUGAUGAGGAUGUUGCAUUAAUUCUGUUAGAGCAUAGGAAUGUUCCAAUAGUAUACAUCAUUAUUAAGGAACGCCAUAUAAAUGUUUUGCCAUAUAAAGAAGCUGUACAACAUGGUAAUCACUUCAAUCAAAAUCAGAUUUACACUCUUUCACAAAUACUACAAAAUUCAGUCCCUAACCCACAACAAUGGCAAGUGAUGUAUGCACAUAAGUUUGUGUAGCCCGAUAGACACAUGACAUUCUCACAACAGUUGGUUGCAAAAUUUUGAUUAGCAUGUGCAUUGAACCAAUUACUUACUUUUGUCCAACCAAUGGAACGCUCAGGUGAAGACGACAUGAUGAUGCUCGAGGACAACACUACGACGCAUAAAGAUGGCACGACGAUGCUCAAGGACAUUAAUGCAUCUAAUUAGGGUGAAGACGGUUGGUUCCCUACUGGAGAAGAUAGCUUUGAUGACGAUUUUGAUGGUGGGCUAGAUGGCUGGCAUGAUGAUAGUUUAGAGGAUGACUGGGUUGACAAUAGUGACAUUCUGAAUUGCAAUCAUUUGGAAGGCGAAACAGAACAUGGUGGAGUUAUAGAUUUAGGAGAUGUUCAGUGUGAUGACCCCAUAGACAAUAACCCCAUCGCUGAUGAGAACAAGAUUAGUUCGCCUGAGACAUUACUUGAUGACAUUCAUCAAGAUAGGGGAAGUGUAGGGGUAUCUUACACGUGGCAUAUUUUGGGUGCAGAAAUGUUCUCUUUACAAAUAGUUACCACACAGGAGUCCACAUCAACUGAUGAUCGCUUAUACUGAGAAAAAAUGUUUUCCUUGAAGGUCGAAUUGAAAUGAGCUUUAAACCUAUUAGCACUAAAAAAACAGUUCGAGCUAAGAGUUAAAAGGUCAUGUCAAAUUUGUUUUGAGGUUGCUUGUAAGGACAAGGCAUGCAAUUUUGAUGUGCGUGAAAUAAAGUUACCUAAAGGAGAUUAUUGGCAAGUUUAAACUUUUCACAUGGUACACAUGUGUUCUGUCGAUGGUUUGCAAAGACGAUUUUGAACCAUGAGUGUGAAGAUAAUUAGUGAACUUAUGUCACAUAAGCUUCAGGCUAAUGGAGUAGCAUUGGGACUUAAGGACAUAAUUAGUGAGAUAAGGGUUCAUUGGGGAUUGGAAUGCUUGUAUGGUAAGGCCUGGCAAGUGAAGAAGUAUGCAAAAAGGCUUGUUUUUGGUCCUUCAAGGAAGUCAUUCCAGCUCUUACCAUUGUAUUUCCAUAUGUUGAAAUGUAAAAAUUUUGGUACAGUCACAAUAGUGGCUACUGAUGAGGCACAAUGAUUCAAAUAUUAUAUUUGGUCAUAUAGGGCUUGUAUCCAGGGGUUUGAGGAUGCAAUGCGUCUUGUAGUUGCUAUUGAUGCCAUGCAUCUGAAAGGUAGGUUCAAGGGUGUUCUAUUUGUGACUGUCUAUAAAGACAUGAACUAGUGCAUAUAUCUGGCUGCAUUUGGCAUAGGCCAUGUUGAGGACAAAGACUUAUGGACUUGGUUUCUUAGCAACCUGUGUCGUGCGGUUGGUUGUCUUAAUAACACAAUGUUCAUUUUUGAUCAGCAUCUUGGCAUCAAGAAAGUAAUCCAUAAUGCAUACCCAAAUGCCUAGCAUGGUUUAUGUGGUUACCACAUGGAGAAAAUCUUCAAAAACAAGUUCAAACAUGAUGACGUUUUAGUGGUUUUCACCUUUGCUCAAGACUGUUACAAGGUUUCUGAUUUUAAUAAACAUAUGAACCAGCUGAAGUAAAUACAUGCAGGAGCCAACUCUAACCUUAUGAAAAUAGGCCUUGAGAGAUGAGCACUUGUACGGUCACUGAUAAAGCGAUACCAACUCAUGACAUCCAACAUUGAGGAAUGCGUUAACUUAUGCUUGAAGAAUGCAAGACAAAUACGAAUCAUUGUUAUGAUCGAGUUCACCAGAGACAUGUUUUAACAUUGGUUACAAGAUCGGUACUAGGAGGCCGUUAAGGUGAGCACUCCCCUCAAGUUUUGGGCUAUGAGGUAGUUGAGUAAACGGUUCAAUGAUGCUCAUCACUUUGUAGUUAAAUCAUCGAUUGAAUGGAGUUCGAAGUUAAAUAUGUAAGGAUUGACGGACUUGUAAACCUAUCCAGGAAAAUGUGGUAUUGUUGUGAGUUCUUGUAACAACUGCUCCUCGAUCGCUACCGGAGUUCGAGUCUUGCGGGAGAACUCGCUAAGUCCUGACCAAACAUUAAUUGAAACUUUAGUUAUUACUUCAUAUUGAUGCCAUCAAUCUAUGAAAUUACUUUGAACCGUAUAACUCUUUAUAGUAUAGUUUGAACAAAAGGCAUUAUAGAUCGACUUAACUUUUAUUCCUCAUAAUUGUAAAAGUACAUCAAGGUUUACAAACUCGAAAUGUACAUUGCAUUAACACUAUUGACAAACAAUAUACACUAUGAAUGACUCAACUUCUAACAUUGGAGUGACUUGGAAUAAGGUGCUAUGAGAUGCUUUUACCUAUUCACAGUGGACAAUAUGUGCUGAUGAACACACGCUACACCGAUCACUAUCUGUAAAAGGGGAAAUAAGGGGGUGAGUCUCACAGACUCAGUGAUCAUUGGCUCGUGAGCAAGGCGUAGAUGGGAAACAAGCUAGGGACAGAAGAUUUGAAUAUUAAAACAUAAGAGUAUAUAUAAACAAUUUAACUCAAAUGAAGCAUUUGUGCCUUAUAUGUAAACCCAAGAAUUUUGAUGCAGAAUUAUCAUUUCAAAUUGUAUAAUAAAAUCAAUGCAAAUGAAAGAUUUCUACUGUCGAAAUCAUUUAAUCUCCUUUACUUAAAAUCAUACUAAUAUAAGCUCGCACGCUCCUCUUAAAUCAAUCAUUAUCAAAGCUUAUACGUAAGCUCAUAAACCAUCUCAUCCUCGAGGUAUUAAACAUAAAAUCAUUGUAUAAUAAAGGAGCUGCGAAAAAACUUGUAUUUCUCACCAUGCGAAAGAAUUGAUAUUUGAAAACCCAAAGAGACAUCACACUCGAGUAGGUAAUAGUAAUAAUAAACUCAUGGACCAUCUUCCAGGUAAUAACAUUCGAAGGGCCCUCCUUCAUUGGAUUCCUAUAUCCAUGGCAAUCUCGACAAUGUAGGCCUACAUCAGAGAAAUUGUCACAGCCCAAUUUUCAGGCCAUGAUCGGCGUAAGGGCCCAAUGGGCUCAGCCCACUAAGCCCAAGCAAGCCUCUUUGUAUAAUCUUAUACAGUAAUUCAUAUACCUUUAAAAUCCAAAAUUCAUAAUGUUCAAAUAUAGUCCCUUUGAAAACAAUUCAUAAAACCCAAUUAUGCAUUCAUAAUGGCAUCAUCUACCAUAAUAUACAUAUAUAGCUUGACCAAUGAAUAUUAGUAUUUCACUUUAAGUAUUCAUAUACACAUAAUUAGGCCUUGACCGUCAACGGAGUGACUUUGGUCAUGGUUGCUAACAUUUAAUGUCAUGGUAAACCUACCGAGCAAUGGAUAGGGAGGAGCACCUUGUCCUAGGAUCAUCACCUUUAACUCAGGGAACCUGGAUGAGCUUGGAGGCAUGAAGAUCAACAAAAAAAACUUUCAACCUUGAAAAUGAAGAUUUGAAGCCAAAAAUCCAAGUGUUGUUGAAAGUGAAGUAGAAGUAGAAAUAGAAAAUAAAGGAAAGAAAACGAGAUUUUUCUUUCUCUCUCCUUGGGUUUGGAAGUGCUGGAAACUGGGUUUAGAAGUUAUAACUUUGGUGCACAAGGAGUUGGGAGAAGAAAGAAGCAAGAAGAGAAAGGAAAUGAAAAGAAAACAAGGAAAGAAAAUGAAAGAAAAUUAACUUUCCAUGGGAGAAUGAGGGAAUGGCGUUGGAAGCUUCAAGAAUGAAGAAGAAACAUGACCAAACUUUGUGUAAAAUUACCGUUUUGCCCUCCAAGUUUCUUCCCUUUUUCAUUUAGUCCUCCCAACACUCAUUUAACUCCAAUUUCCUUCUAUUAUCUUCUUCUACACAUGUACAAACAAAGUAUAAAGUUUGUACUCCAACGCGGUGUCCCCAUAAUAUUUAAAAUAUUUAUUUACUUGCGCUAUCUUUACUUAAUAAAGACACGUGACCCAAUUAACGUUAUUUUUCUCCGAAAUUUUCUCAUUCCUCUUCUCCCCCACUUAGAUUGACCAUAUAUUCCUCAUUCAUGGAAAAUUUUGACAUUGAAUAAAAUAUUAAUAUUUUAAUAUUAUUUUAUUCCAAAAAUUUUCUAUUGUCUCCUUGGUACCCAAAAUACCUUAUUAUGCCUCAAUUCACUUCUGAAUCACUUUUUAUCUCACACAUUCUUUCUCGAUAAAAAUAUUAUUAUUUUAUUAUUAUUUCCUCGUGUGCGAAAUAUUUUAUCCCAAAUUAUUCCUUUCAUCUUUCAUCACUUCUAAACAUUAUAAUUAACCUAAAUUGGCAUCCGAUAAGCUUUAUUAGUCACCAUAGCAAAGUACGGGGCAUUACAAUCUCCCCCACUCAAAUAAAAUUCGUCCUUGAAUUUUUCUCAACGUCGGGUUGUUAAUCUCCCUCAAUGAUAUUAUUCCAUAUCCUUCUUCAUAGGGAAUUUUGAUUUACGCACUUCAUUACCUUCAAUUUGACUAGAACACUUUACAAGAUCAAGGUAUGUAUCUUAUAUCUAUUAUCAUCUUUGAUUCAAAACCGCGAUACCAUUUUCAAUUGUUCUUUCUUAUCACUAAGAUCCCAAGUAUGCCUUUAAUUUCGUCAUUAACCUCAAACAUAUCUUUAUUUCGAUUCUUGUCAAACCUUCAAUCAUUCAUUCAUCUUAUCCCUAUACACUAUUAUGUAACUUGCAGCAUUAUAAACAUGCCAUAUUCAUUUCUAUACAUAGUCUCAACGUCGAGAAAGGUUAAUGCCUCCAAUUAUUCCCACAUACUCAUGUUUACCUUCAAUUUCUGCAACUUCAAUCUGCUUAAUCGUAUUAGUCCAUUUUGUAUGGCUUAACCACGUUAUAGAUUACAUUUCCUUGGUAUCAUUUCUUUGACUAUUUCUCCAAAAUUUCUUAUAUCAACAUAACUCAACUUCUGAUGGGAUAUUUUAUCGUUGUACUAUCUAUACAACUAAUCAAUUAUUGAGUUCAAAUCUCAAAUUACUUAGAACAAUUCCUCACCUCAGUUGGUCAAGUCAUCAAUUUCACAUAUACGUAUGUACAUGCAUUUUCAAAUGUCAACAUUCCUCGUUACGCAUAGGGAUCCAUGUGUUAGCGUGCCUUGGACUACAUCUCCCUUUAUUCAUCCUCAUCCCUAUCCAAGAUUGAAUAUAAUAAUCCUCAUAAUGCAUGUCAACAUUCUUGUUAUGCCUGUGCAUAACUUCAUAUCAUUUAUAUCAUUUCCCAUUUAUAUGCUUGAGUUUCAUCGUACUAUAUAUAUCCUUGCAUCACAAUGUCAUUAAUCACAUCUCACUUGCUAAAUGUCAUUUGCAUUAAAUUGUAAUCCGAUAUUCGUAUAUACUUUAUAAUCUCGUUGAUUUUUCAAAGGUUUAUCUUUAUUGGAUCAUUGCAUCUUAUGCAAUACCACAAUCCCUAAAAGUCAUCCUUAUUUCUCAAUUAUUCUUCAUACCUCUAAUAUGUAUAUAUAUAUAUAUAUAUAUAUAUAUAUAUUAUAUCCUUGUUGCAUUUCGACUUUAAUGAGUCACUUAAAACUUAGACUCAUUCGAAUCGUGCAUGCCUUAAGCAUUUUUGAAUUCUAAUUUCCAUACUACAUUAGGAAGUUUUCAUUAUUGGACUUCACUAUCAGAUUAUCUUCAAUCAUCCUUUGUUGUAUUCUUCCAUACUAAUGUGACAUCAUUCUCCCUGGACUAAUUAGCAAUUUGUACUUGAAACUGCAAGACUUGAAACGAGGUCCUCUUUAAGUACUUUUCAAUGUCAAUAUGAAUCUCACUUUCAGUUUACGACUUCUUCUUUAUAACCACAUAACUUAACGCUUGCUUUCACAAGAUCCAUAGUAGAACUCUUAUUGAGAAUUUCCUUGGGGAUACUUAUCUUAAACUUAUGUCUCAUCGCAUGUGAUCUUAAACUUAUGUCUCACCACAUGUGAUCACUUAACCCAUGACUUAGUCGUUAGGCUCCUCAGCAAGUUUUUAAAAAUCUCACAUUUUAUACUCGCCGUGUAUGAUUGGUAAUUCCUUUUCAAAGAUGUUUGUGCGUUCCUUAAACCCUUAAAGAUAUAUAAAGACUUAUUCUUAUUCUUAAAGAUAUAUAAAGAUGUUGUUACAUGCAUAUUCCAUCCUCCCACACAAUCUAAUUUUCCUUGGUUAGUUAAUUUCCUUUUAACUUCAAAAGUUAAAAUUACACAUAAGUCUUCAAACUUUUUCUUAUUUACCAUUUGACCCUCCAAGUUUUCAUCCUUUAUAAUUAGGUCCUUCAAAUAUUUCUUUAAUGCCAAUUUCCUUCUAUCUUUCUUCUUUUACACUUGUACAAAAAAAAUAUCAAAUUGACACUUCACCAAGGUGUCAUCAUAAUAUUUUAAUAUAUACUUACCCGCUCUUACUUUAUUUAAUAAAGGCAUGCGAGCCCCACUUAGGUCGUUUUUCUUUAAAAUUCCUUUUUACUUCUUCUCCGUCACUUAGACUAGUCAUAUAGUCCUCCUUCAUGACUAAUUUUAACAACAAAUAAAAUAUUAAUAUUUUAAUAUUAUUUUAUUAAUAAAAUAUUAUUUUAUUAAUAAAUUCACCACUUGUCUCCUUGGGUCACAAAGUAUCUCACUUUGUCCUGGUUCACAUCCAAAUCACCUUUUAACUCACCAAUUCAUCUUCGAUAAAAUAUUAUUAUUUAAUUAUUAUUUUUCUUGCUUGUGAAAUAUUUUAUUUCAAAAUAUUCUUUUCACCCGCCACCGCUCUUUGGCAUUUAAAUUUACGUCAAUUGACCAUUCGUUUUAUUGAUAAGGUCUUAUCGGCCAUGCGAGGUGUUAUAGUUCCAAACAAAUUUACGACCAUGCAGCCAUACCAUUGUGGCAAUAAGGUAUGAAUAUCCUUGUUUCUUAUUUGAUUUGUAAUUAAUUUAGGUUUGACAUUGUGAUUUAACCGUCAGUUCAUUGGAUUCAUAGUUAGUGCAAACGUGAAGUCGUUGAAUUCUGUUUGGACUACUACAAGGCUACUUAUUUGGUGGAGGGUUAUGUUGGGUUUAUUUGCCCGGUUGGGCAUCCUAGUGACUAGGACAUCCCCCUUGAUGUGAAAGAAAUUAUCAUUUUAGCACUACCUUGGCGAGGUCAAGCGAGAAGACCUAGAAGGAAAAGGAUUCUAUCGAUCGGGGAAGGCAAUCGACCACCGAGAUAAUCAUAAUGCAAGAGGUACAAGCAUAAUAGACAAAAUUGCCCAUCGUCGUUUGUAGUUCCAUCCACAAAUCUAGCACCAUCUCCAAGUCAGUCAGCGCUUAGAGGACAGUAAUGAUGGAAAGCUUGUUCAACUUGUAAAGAACUUGGUCACACAUGCAACACCUGUCCAAUACGAAAGAUAAUGUUUGAGAACAUAGGGUGUUUUGUAGAUGAAGACAAUGGGUCAACCUAACUAAAUGCAUGAGUCAUGUCCAGUACCUUUCUUACAUGCAAAGCAAUUCUAGGUGGAACUGUUGAAAAUGUGUAAGUACAAAUGAAUUAUAUGCCAUGCAGCUUAUUACAUUCAUUUUUUUUUUGCUUGUUAUCUAUUAAUGGACUAACUGGAUAUUUUAAUUGCUUGUUAUUUUAGUUUAUUAGUGCAACUAAAUCCUUUUGCUUAUAGGGUAAAUGCAACGGAGGGCGGUAUGGAAGACGGAGUUAGGUAUUGGUCAUAUGAAAUUGUCUGCCUAAGCAAGGUUUAGUAGCUUUAAUAGUAGUUGUUACACGCCAUGCCUUGGUAGGCAAUUGUUGCUAAACGACAUCCAUAUAUAAUCUGUUGUGACAUGCCAUGUCUAUAAUAUGUAUUGUUGUAACUUGAGUUCAAGAGGUACAAGCCAAGUAGACAUGCCAGAAAUGUUGCAAAACGCCAUGCCAAUAAAAAGGUUUGUUACUCGCCAUGCAUUAUUAAACACUGUUAUUUCAUGCCAUUCUACAUCGGUCUUAUGUCAAGAGGGAAGCAUUUGUUGAGACUAAGCAUAUGAUAUAGAGAAAGUACACACAAAAUGUAAUAGUUAUGACAAUUUGAAUAGAGCAUUUCACCCAUAAAUGCCCUGAAGCAUAAAACCUUGUGUAAACCUCAAUUAAUGGCCCUUGCCACUUCAAAGAAAUGCAUAACAAUUUUAUAAAUGCCAUGCAUCCCAUCCAUGCAUGUGUGGAGCACACCUUGCUCCCUACUUGGAAAGUUACGAGCUCUUUUUCACCACAAAAACCUUAACUAUAAAUUACGAUUGAGAAUUUGAUGUGAUAUGAGUAUAUAUUGCUAGCAUCUAAAUGGAUAUGAAUACAUAUUGUUUGGUUAGCAUCUAGUAUGUCCUUUUUCUUGGAUAAUAUGCAGCAGCUUCAACGAAAGCUUCCCACCAGAUGAUCCAUCAGAGUGGGAAUUACCAUCUGAGUGGCAAUUGCAAAGCAUAUGAAUCAUGUCUUUUCUAAACUUGGUGUGAUAAAGAUAAAUAAUGGCAUAAAAUGAUCUUUUUAUAGGGAAAGUUGGAACCUUGCAUGAGAACCUUAACAAUUGUUAUAAAUGGUUUUAUUUAAUUGUUACUGGCAUCUAUCUAAAAUAUUUUUUUUGAUCAAGAAGGAAUCUACACUGUGGGAAGUGCAUUCAUGAAAUAAGUUAUGGGAAUCCUAUUGCUAAAUCAAUUUGUGCGCCUAGUGCAUUCACUUAAGAGGGUUUAGGGUAUUCAUGAACAGCGAUUUAGAGGUUAACAGAGUUUAUAUAGACAUACUAUGCCAUGCUUCAGUCCAUGUUUGAAAAUGCAAAUGCAGGCCAUAUUGAAAAUAAUGCUAUUACCUACAAGACGUCGUAAAUGUGUGAUUUAUGUGUAAGAACAGAUUCGCUUUUAUUCGAAGACUGCCAAUUCUGAUUCUUGAAUGAGGUGAUGACUGAUUAGAUGGAUGUCAGACGUAUGGAUUCCAUAUUUUACUACCUUUAUCUUCUCGACAGGACAUGUGAUAAGGGAUUUGAGAUUAUUGGAAUCUCUUACUUUUGAACCCGUAUUUCUAUCUGUUUCCAUGCAGAUAUUGGAGGAGUUUUGGAGAUAAAAUUUAUUUUUUUCCAUCCUUUUAUUGUAGAUUUAGGGCACUACUAAGGUUGAAGCCCAAGUUAAUGACACCCCAAUUACAAUGGGUAUAUGUCAUGGAUAUUUUUCCACUUAUCACAUUUUCUUCUCAAUAUUAGCCAUGGGGUAUACAAAAUGCUCGAGCAUGAAUUAUGUGCUUUUUGUGAAAAGCUAAACAGAUUUUACUACUGACCCCUUGUUCCAACUCAUUAUUUGUAAAUGAAACAGUGCACAUAAGAACUCCAUGGUCAUUUAGUUUUGCAAUAUUUGGAUAGAUUCAUGGGCCACCUCAAAACAUUGUCAGGUACUGCUUUUUUAUUUACUAAAUGGCAUGAAAAGGGAAAAAACUUGAUACACGCCCUGUAUGAACAGUACGCAAUGGUUGGUAUACGCCAUACCAAUGAAUUAUUAGGUGCUACACGCCAUACCAACGUAUUAUUGGGUGCUACACACCAUGAUUAUGUGUGAUGUGUUAAUUAUUGGUUUAAGGUUUUUGAACAAUUCAGAAUAUAGGCAGAUGUGUUCACAAACUGAAAAGACACAAUGUUUAAAAAAAACACCGCUUCGAUAUCAUCCUUUGUCAUGCACUGAAGUUGUUGAGGGUAAGAUAGGCAUCAUCUUGAAAGUAAAGAAGAGACGUCGAACUCACAAAACUCACUAUUAUCGACCCCGUUUCGUCAAGCGGUGAAUAAUGAAAAACUAAAAGAUGCAAUAGAGAUCUUUGAAACUUAAGGAUGAUAUGAUCCUUGGGAUAUUGGCUAGACUUCCUCCAAAAUUCGUUGUCCAAUUUUGAUGUCUGUCAAAAUCCUUAUACGUUUUAACUAGAAACCCUGUAUUCCAUCCAACAACAUCUCAAUAACUACAACGGUAUGCAACAACUUUGUUUGUGUUUUAAGUUUUCUCCUCAAUCUAUGAGCUUGGAACCAUAUAAGAAAACAACAUCCAAUCUAGAAUUUUCCAUGCCAUAUCCAAAGAAAAAGCGUUCACCUAUACAUUGUCUUGCAUUUUAGGGUCAUGUCAUGACUUGUUGUGUGUUGUUGUGCCAUAGGAAACUAUUAUUCUAUGGAAUCCUGCCAUAAGAGAGUUUAAACAACUACCCCUCCCGUAUCCCCUCACCAUCGAGUUAUACGAAAUCGGUCUAUAAGACAUGUUUGGAUUUAGGUAUGAUUAGCCUAUGUAUGAUUACGAACUGAUAAGAUUUGUUAAUGUUAUUACAAAGGGAGAUUUAUCAAAAUCAGACGUCAUCAUUGAUGUCUAUUCACUAAAAUGUAAUUCUUGGAGAAGAAUUGAUGGAUUCACUUUUCCUAUACGCUUUCUAGAUCAUGAAUGGUCAGGGACUCUUCAUGUUGGUGUCAUUUAUUGGAAUGUGAACUACAAAAUUAGUCUUGGGUUUAAGGAAUAUCAAAAUUUGCUUUGUGGAAUUCUUUCAUUUCAUCUAUCAUCUGAAGAGUUUGAUGUAAUCAACGUGCCCAAUGAUGCAGUUCAGGCACAUGAUAAAACUGUUAGGGUGGUGGUCCUUGGAGGAUGUCUAAGUUUCACUCAAAACAACUACGGUGAAAGCUUUAAGGUUUGGAAAUUGGAGAAGGAUGUAACGAGACAUAGUUAUAUAAGGUUCAUGACAAUAUCGAAUCUUUCCUCACCACAACAAGGCUCAAGGUUCAAGCCAAUAUGGUUAUUUGCAAACAGUGAAGUCUUUUUUACCUAUGGAUUUGGUGUCUUACUCGUACGUAGGUAAAAAUUCAAGUAGAUUAGAAAUGUAUAAUCCGAUCCAAGGCAUCUUAAAAGGAGUCAAAGUUACUCGUAUAAGGCAAUGGUUUUGGGGAGUAACAUACAUGGAGAGUUUGGUUUCGCCAAACUUUGAUGUCUUUUGAUCAUGCAAUUGUUAAAUAUUUUAAGGUUGUUGUGGUUUUGGGUUUUGUGUCUUGGGUUUAUAUUGUGACACUUUACUAUGACAUAUUACUAAAUCUUGUUAGUCAUGAGGCCAUGCCUAACAUGAGAAUAUGUGACACGCCAUGUAUACCCUGCUGUUAUGCGACAUGCCAUGUUGACUCUGCUGUUCUACAACACGUCAUGAUGGGUUUGUACAAGGUGCGUGAUGCCAUUGACAAAAUGAAAUUAUGCGACACGCCAUGCCUAACUCGCGAGUAAGCGACACACCAUUGGCACCAUUGGCAUAUUUAGCUUCUUCCUGGUUAACUUAUUAUGUUCUAGAACAUCCCAAGCAAUACAUAGUCAUGGUAGAUAAAAGUAGAUGUCGUUUAGUUAUUGUCAUUUAACAACCCAUUAAACCAUGAAGGCAUGUCGUGUAUCAACAUUUCCAGUCAAUGGCGUAGCGUUAUAGAAUUAAUAUUGAACUCUGUUCUUGAAAGCUGAGGGUUAUGCACACCAUUUCAGUAAUACAACACUGGUUUGGGAUCUUUUAAGUUUUCUUGCCAUUUGAUUUUUUCCACAUUACCCUUUCUUUCCAUAGAACGCUGUCCUAUGUCAAUGUCUAAUUCACCUACCACGUCACACGCAAAACCCGCACCCUUAUAAGCAACACCUUACAAUUAGACAUUUUGGAACACGACAGGAAAUGUCGAAACACUGUUGUUAGACAUAAAUGAAAUUGAAGUUCAGGCUUAAUAAACGCCAUGGCUACCACGCACUUGUUUUGCUAUGGCACGCGAACACAACAUUGUUUGCUACAUGCCAUGGAAAUAAAUUGAUUUUAGUUUCAAUUGUCUGUGUAUGGUUACAAAAAACUUCAGCACAUGGCAUGUACGCGAUAGGCAUUAAAGAGACAUAAUGUUUAGGCAACAACUGAAGGCAAAAUGUUCCAUUUGAGAUAUUUGAAAAAGAUCCCAAUCACACACAUUAGUGUAUAUAGUGUCCAUACUAACUAAAGACAUAAGAUUCAACAACAUUACCUUAAUACCAUCCAAUUCAUUGAAUUUUACCAACUAUGGAUUCUACAAGAAUAGGAAAACGACCUCAAGAUUGCAUUAAGGAAGAAGUCUAGUGAAGUCGCCUAGACAAAAUUGUUGUCCGAGAGGAUCAAGACACAACAAAUUUGGAUAACAUACUUCACUACAUUCAGAAUAUGGAAGGAGAAAUUUUAUAAAAAUCAGAAUACUCAUUAUCAAACUAAUGGAUAUGUUAGAAAAAUUAAAAGAUCUUGAGUUUAAAGUCUAGUGUAUAUAAGUAUUUGACUAUUCAGGGGGUCCCAUCUUCUAGGGAUUAAGGGCACCAAACCUCAAACCCUUAAUCUUAAUUAAGCAGCAAUUUGUAUCGCACUGUUUAAAUCUCAAAUGUGGCAACAUGUGACUCUAUAUUUUAUGUACUAAUUUAUUUCAUACACUUAUACAAUACUUGAAGAACAAUUAGGUUUGCCUAAUUCAUUCAUCAUCUGAUAAUUAGUUAUGAGAAAGCUAAAUGAUGAACGUGGUGAAUGUAAGGAAUUUUGAUUCAUGGCAUUUUUAACCAAAGAUCUCGAUGAUUAGGCUUAUCUUUGAGUGGUUAAUAAAAUGAGCGAAUCACUUAUAGAAAUGGAGCAAUUUUUUCCCCUGCCGUAUUACAACAUAUGCAAAGUGCAUUACUGUUCAAUUUAGUUUGAUCGACUUGUUUUCUCGCGAGAAUAGUAGGCAUGGUGUGUAAGAACAAAUGAAAAGGUCAACAUGUAGCUGGAUAUUUUGCUUUAUUUUAUAAAUGUCAUGGAACAUACAACAUUUCUAACACAUCAACACAACAAGGCAAUUAUGAAUAAAUGUAGGUAACAACAUCGGUGUCCGAAAACAUACGAGAGACAAAAAUUUUCUUCAAAACAUUAGUAAAGAAUUGAAAAUUAACAUUGAUGAUCACGUCGAAUGUUGUAGGAAGAUUUGUUACCUACGUGAUUGUAUGAAGAUAUACAGAAAGAUCUUCCCUUGGCAAACCUCAGAGAACCAUGGACGGUAUUUGACAUUGGUUGCAAUAACCAAGUUUUUGGGCUGAGUCAUGGCCUUCACGUAUAAUGGAUUUGCUCUGUCCCUAAUGACCAAAGAUAAUUUGGGUGAUAAGAAACAACCUUAGUACCUUGUAUAAGAUAAGCUGAGUCAUAGAAGAAUAAUAAAUACUUAAUUACCUCAGGCAAUCUUGAACCAACCAUCAUGUCGCCAGAGGUAACUAAGUAUCGAUGAAUAGUUUGUGCACAAGACAAAAUCAUCAAGGAUGAUUGAAAGACGAUGUCUUUCCAGAGCAUAUUUUGAAAUACCUCUUAUAAUCAGGUGUUACUUCAAUUGAUGGAAUCUUCCUACUACCCUAAACCCUUCCACUUUUAAUUAAUAAUUAGAUAAAUCGUAUUGCUAGACCAUUUAUAUAAAGGGUUGCUUUGUCAUUCAGGGUAAACUUUAUUGUGUCAAAGAUAUUUCUCUUCAAUUUAUAUUCUAAUUUAAUCCAUGCCACGUGUGUUUUGGCAUGUCCACAGCGCAGGUAUUACCAUAGCACCAAUUGCAAUGCAAAAGUCAAAAAUCCAAAUAAAAAACACAGUGUAACUUGCAAACAAUAGAACGAAGUACUUUGACAAGGCAAAAGAGAUGGUGUGUAGCAUUUUGUCCUAUAUCAGUCAUUACAUUUCAAACCAUAAUAUCCAAUGAUGUCUUCAAAUAAUAAAAGGGUUGAUUGGUAGCUUGGCAUGUCACGUCCUUUCUCACAUGGAGAAAAGCAGUAAAGAAUAUGAAAUAUUGUGCCAAGUAAGAAUUUACCAACAAUUCAUAUUCCCUUUAGUUCAUAAGGAAUUUUUCAAACUAUUAGCAAUAAUUACAAAAAGCUAAAAGACUUUUUUCGAUAAUUGAAACGUUGUCUAUUUCCUAAGAGUUUAUGUAAAGGAAAGGUAUUAUUAUCCUAACUUAUGAAAAACACAUGUAAACUUCCGAUGUCAUUUUCAUUUAGGGGUCCACACUGUGAAUUCGUGCUACUACAUGGAAAUUGCCUAUAAAAGGGCCAUGUUAUGAAACCAUUCCCUAAACCAAGUUCUAAUGACAAGAGUCAUAUGCUUUGCAAUUACCACUCAAGUGGAUCCUUUGCAUCAGAAGCUCAUGAUGUUAAUGUUGUUCCAUAUUAUAUGGGAAAAUUGACUGUAUAGAUGUAAAUUGAUCAAUAUAUAUUCCAUACCAUUCAAAUGCAAGCAAUAUAUACUCAAACCACAUCAUAUUCCCACCCAAAAGUAUAUUCAUUUAGUAAGUCCUUAUCUCGGGAAGAUCUAAUGCUGCAGGAGUAUAUUCCAUAUUGACUUGGAGGGGAGUGCUCGGUGUCGAAAGAGAUUCCCUUUCGGAUGCCUAGAAGUCUUUCAUUGGAAGCUGAAGGACACCACAAUACGUGUCAUAUACACUAGACUUGACGACACAUCUAGUUUAAGAUAUAAGAUAGCUUAAACAACCAUUGCUAGACAUGCGUGUAACACUAUAGUUGCAAGAGGUCGUUUAUAGAAAUGAAGAAGGAUGUCGUGGAGAGUGGUGUUGCCAAUAGCAUGUCACAAGCCAUGCUCGGAUGAUAGUUCACUUGCUAUGUAACCCUAAUGUAAUGCCCCGUACUUUGCUAUGGUGACUAAUAAAGCUUAUUGAAUGCCAAUUGAGCUUAAUUAUAAUGUUUAGAAGUGAUGAAAGAUGAAAGGAAUAGUUUGGGAUAAAAUAUUUCGCACGUGAGGAAAUAAUAAUAUUUUUAUCAGAGAAAAAUUUGUGAGAUAAAAAGUGAUUCGGAAGUGAAUUGAGGCAUAAUAAGGUAUUUUGGGUAUCAAUGAGAAGAGGAAAUUUUUGGAAUAAAAUAAUAUUUUAUUAAUAAAAUAAUAUUAAAAUAUUAAUAUUUUAUUCAGUGUCAAAAUUUUCCAUGAAGGAGUAGUAUAAGGCUAAUCUAAGUGGGGGAGAAGAGGAAUGAGAAAAUUUCAGAGAAAAAUGACGUUAAUAUGGCCACGUGUCUUUCUUAAGUAAAGAUGGCAUGGGUAAAUAAAUAUUUUAAAUAUUAUAAGAACACCGCGUUGGAGUACAAAGUUUAUACCUUAUUUGUACAUGUGUAGAAGGAGAUAAUAGAAGGAAAUUGGAGUUAAAUGAGUGUUGGGAGGACUAAAUGAAAAAGAAAAGAAACUUGGUGGGCAAAACGGUAAUUUUACACAAAGUUUGGUCAAAGCUUCCAUAGGAAGCUUUGACUCUCAUCCUUAUUAGCCCAAAAUUGUCCUUAUCUCCUCUAGCAAGAUGUUUCUUCUUCAUUCUUGAAGCUUCCAACGCCAUUCUCUCAUUCUCCCAUGGAAAGUUAAUUUUCUUUCAUUUUUUUCCUUGUUUUCUUUUCAUUUCCUUUCUCUUCUUGUUUCUUUCUUCUCUCAACUCCUUGUGCACCAAAGUUACAACUUCUAAACCCAAUUUCCAGCACUUCCAAACCCAAGGAAAGAGAAAGAAAAAUCUCUUUUUCUUUUCUUUAUUUUCUAUUUCUACUUCACUUUCAACAGCACUUGGAUUUUUGGCUUCAAAUCUUCAUUUUCAAGGUUGAAAGGUAUAUAUUUUCAACUUUUGGAAUUUUUGAAUUUAUGGUUAUAUAUUCAGAUUUAUUCCCUAAUUUCUUCAAAUUAUUUUUCUUGAAAAGAUUAAGUUUUUUUUAUUGAUCUUCAUGCCUUCAAGCUCAUCCAGGUAACGAAAUUGUAAAUUGGAGUAGUUGGCCAAAUGGGUUUCUAAAUUAGACUAGACACUUAGGUUAAAUGUUAGGUUAGAGGGUAGAUUGCCUAAUGUAAAUUCAUUAGAAUUAUUAGAUUUAAUUUAUGACUUAAUUGAGGUUGUUAUGGUUUAUUGAUAAAUAUACGCUUUAAUGGUAUUUCGAGACUACUUGGAUUAGGACCUUGCUAGUGCUAGUUUUGUCAGGUGAGUGAACUUGCAUUUCAAAAUAUUUUGGGGAAAUGUUUACGUGUUUCAAUGAAUCAUUUGGGAAUUUUAUCGAUUUUUGCUUUAAAAUUUCCUAGGAACAAGCCCUUGAUAAAACGUUUGAUGUUGUAAAAUGUGAAAUGUGUAAAAGGUUGAAUCCAUAUGUUUUUGUAUAAUGUUGAUAUAUAUAUAUAUAUAUAUAUAUAUAUANNNNNNNNNNNNNNNNNNNNNNNNNNNNNNNNNNNNNNNNNNNNNNNNUAUAUAUAUACUAUGUCAUAAAUGGUACCAUUGUGUGACAAAUGCAACCGUGCAUGUGCAGGGUGAGUGUGCACUUGCCGGUGAUGACGGUGGUGAGGGAGAUGGAUGGUGAUGCUGUCCGGCUAUGUGCACGAUGUGGUGGGAUGCACAUGAGCUGGGUGAAAUGCACAUGAUGAAUCUUGAAAAUUUGUCAUUUAUUUGCAAAUUGAUUUUAUUGCAACGAGAAACAUUCUGUUUAUACUGCCUUACUUAGAUAAUUGCUAAAAAUUUCCCUUCUUUCCAAUUUCAUGUUGAAUAUGGUUCCUUCAUCAUUAAAUGAUUUUACAACCAAGGGUUUAAUGGAGGGAUUUUAAAAAGAACUUGAACUAAAUGGCAUUGUUUUCAAAUAAGUGCAUUGUGUUUUCUAAACCAUUCCUUGUCAUUGCUUGUUCCUUUCUUAUGUUCACUCAUUGAGUUUGUACUCACAUUUUUAGAAUUCAUGUUUUAGGUUUCCUAAGUUAAAGGUGAUUGGAUCCUAGGACAAGGUGCUCUUCCCUAUCCAUUGCUCGGUAGGUUUACCAUGACAUUAAAUGUUAGCAACUGUGACCAGAGUUACUCCGCUGACGGUCAAGGUCUAAUUAUGUGUAUAUGAAUACUUGAGGUGAAAUACUAAGAUUCAUUGGUCAAGCUAUAUAUAUAUAUAUUAUGGUAGAUGAUGCCAUUAUGAAUGCAUAAUUGGGUUUUAUGAAUUGUUUUCAAAGAGACUACAUUUGAACAUUAUGAAUUUUAGAUUUUAAAGGUAUAUGAAUUACUGUAUAAGAUUAUACAAUAAGGCUUGCUUGGGCUUAGUGGGUUGGGCCCAUUGGGCCCUUGCAUCGGUCAUGACCAUGAAAUUGGGCUGUGACAAAGGUGGUAUCGGAGCUUUAGGUUUAGUUGAGUCUUAGGGAUUCCUGUGUGGUUAGCGGAGUUGUUGGAGUUUGUGUAAAGUCUUGUCCUUGGAUAGUGGGUGCACAACGCAAGUCAAGGAUGGGAGUCUACAUGGGCCCCUACUUCAUUAGAAACCUACCUGUUCUUAUGAUGUUUAGAUGGAUGAGUAAUUAAUACUUGGUUGCGUAUAGGUGGAGGUGCACCAGUUGCACACUCCAUGUCUAGAAAAAAUGGUAGUCCCGAUACCCCUUAUAGUUCUGUGAGGGAUCACUAGAUUCCACUGCUCGGAGCUGAUAUGUACCCGAGGGUGAAAGCAUAACAAGUAACCCGACUUGAUUUUCGAGUGGAUGGAUUCUCCCGAGAGGUAAACCACUAUUUAAGAGCUUCAGGAGUCUCGCAAGACUAGUGCAUAAUGAGAUCGAUCGGAGGAAAAAGAACACGAAUAAAAUGGGAAAAAAGACUAUCAGUAAUUAUCAUCCUAGGAAGGUAUCUGUAUCCGUUGUCUGACACUUUCCUCUUGGUUGUGGGAGAGGUGUUGUACUUGUUAGUAAGGAGAAAUUUGAGAAGCAGCAACAAGCUUGGAUUGAGAAUAAAAAAUUGGAAAAUCUCAAGAGGAAAAGGAGGACUUGGAAAAGGAUCUGUCGAUGUGCUCGGAUCAAGGCGACGAGGAUCCUAAAGACACUUAAUAUUUUCGUUGAAGUUCGUAUCACUUUAAGUCUAGGUAGAUGCGGUGUAAAGGAAAUAGUAGUAGUUAUCCAUACAAAAGAGUUAAGAGUUGGCUUAUAUUUUGUAUGACUUGAAUGAAUUAUAAAGUAGCUAUUUAAAUAACUGGAUGUGUAUGGGAAUCUUUUGGUAUAACAGAGGUAGGCUAGUAAUAUAAUUAUUGAGGAAGGAUAUUCACCUUAGUGGUGUGGUUGGUCACCUUAGAUGAUUAUUAAGGAUUGACGUAUAAAGUCAUUAAUGGUACAAACAACUACGAGACCUGACAAAUGAUUACCAAUUAAUUAUGGAAAGGUGAAAUUUGAAAUCCCAAUUGCAGUUACAAUUUGGACAGAUAUGGGAGAAAUCAAUGAGGAUAUAAGUGACACUUAGAAUGGGUGAUGUGAUUAAGUCAAAGAUUGUAAAAUUUAAGUAUGGAGGGAACUACAAAAUGAUGCCAUGACAUUAUAAGAUGAUAAUUUGGCACAAAUAUGGACUAAGGAGUCAAAUUAUGGAACUUGGGGAAAAGUGAAUCCUUGAUUUAAUAAAAAUUGUGGAUGUAGAGCGUGGAGAAAGAUGAACUAUUUUCAUGGUCAUUUGUACUGAAAGUCAACAAAACUGUUUGAGUUACAUGAUGUCACAACCCAAAAUUUCGAGCCAUGAUCGGUGCAUGGGCCCAAUGGACGUAGUCCACGAAGCCCAAGCAAGCCUAUUAAUCUGACAUGGUCAUCAUUCCAUCAUAAACUGCUAAGUCACAUUUCAUAACUUAGGAUCAAAAUAAUAUUAAACAUUGCCACCUCAUAUUGGCAUACCAAACAAGUGUAUAUACAUCGUCUACAAUAUGUAUCUUAAUAAUUUACAUUAGGUUUGUCUAUACACAACAAAAGAAUACUCGACUUCCAACGGAGGGACUCAGAUGAAUGUACAGCUACUGAAUGCCGAGACACUUACCAAAAGAUGGAUACAAGUCUACAAGGACACCUCGUCCUAGUUACCGACUGCCUCGUGAUAUGAAAACAUGAAGUUGAAAAUGGUAAGUAUAAACCUAGUGAGUGAACAAGGAAGGGAACAAGCAACAAUAGGGAAGAAUUUAAAAUCAUGAUACACUUGUUUUAAAACAAUGCAAUUUAAUUUCAUUCAUAUUAAAAACCCCUUAUCAAACCCUUAAAUGAUUAAUCACUUGGUAAUAAUGAACCCAUACAUAACAAAUAAUUUGAAAACUUGAGGUUUCAGUGAUACGCAAACAAGUCAAAUGUGACAACGAAUCUUCGCUGCAGCGGAAAGGUAUUCUCACUGCAGCGAUGUUGGAAUUUAAGUUAUUAGCUGAACGAGGGCUUCUCAACUGGCCGAGGGUUUCUUACCAAACCUCCUCAUUUUAAACUUAAAUCAUUUAUUCCUUAAUGUUGAAGUCCAUGCUCAACCAUGGUAUCAAAGAGGUGAAAAAUAGGGCAACAAUUGAUCAAGAUGUGAGACAAAACAGAAAGUUUUUCGCUGCAGCAAGAAUGAAUCUUACUGUAGCGAAAUUUUUGCACCAAGACAGAAACUUUCUCGCUGCAAUGAGAUUUAUUCUCGCUGCAGCGAGUUUUCAGCCAGCCACCCUCCAAAAAACCCUAGAGUUUCUCGCUACAGUGAGAAACAGGGCACCAAUGAAAAAUUUCACUUCCUCCCAAAGAAAACCACCCUGCUGAAAUGUCCAAAACCAAUAGGAAACACAUAACAACUUCCCAAAGUUUAACAUACUGAAUUUCACAUACAUUACAACCAUAUACCAUUACUCAUAAAUUUCUUAUAACACACAUGUUUUCAUAUAUAUAUGUAUAUACAUAUACCCAUCAUCAUCAUGCACACCAUCCCAUCAUCCCCAGCUCAUGCGCACUCCCUACUCGCACAUGGCUAGGUCAUCAUCGAGUUAUGCGCACUCCCUACUCGAACAUAACCGGGUCAUCAUCGGCUUAUGCGCACUCCCUACUCGCACAUAGCCGAGUCAAAAUCAUUACACAAUAAUGUAUUCAUAUAUAUAUAUAUAUAUAUCAACACAAUGUGGUAGUGCAUGAAUCAAUAAUAGUCACAUGUCAUAACAAGGAGACAAUUUAUCAAAAGCUUGUUCCCAAGUCACUUGUUUUUAUGAAAAGCUAGAUAAUCCAUUCAAAUGUUUGGCAAAUACAUUAUAUCCCCAAAACAAGUUUUGAAUGUAGUUCACUCACCGAUUUAUUGUUGAGCCUUUAGUUGACUCUAAUUCCUUUAAUGAUCCAAUUGGGGUGAUGGGGCUUCGUUAGAACCUAAAAUCACAUUAGCAUCAGCAAUAGGUCAAUUCACAUACUAUAAACCCUAAAAGCUAUCUCUUAGCUAGCUUUCAAUUGCCACAUUAAAUGGCUAUCUAUGUUCACUAUCUUAAUCACUAUAAAUUUAAUGAACAUCCUCAACAAUAAAACAGCUCAUAAUCUCAAUUACUAGCCAUUAUCCACAGCUAAAAACCAAGCUUAGUUCAUCACUCACCCUAAGGUUUCUUUGUAGUUGAAUUCUCUUCUAAUAGCUUCUAAACAAAUGGAGUAAUUCUCUCUUUCUCUCUCUAAAAUGCCCAACUAGUGAGAGAAAGUAUGGAAAUAAGAUUUUUUAAGGGUUUUAAGGAGAGAGAGUGAAAAAGCACAAGGGUCUAUGGAAAGGGUGCACCAAAAGCAUGAAUUUUAGAGCUAUUUAGGGAAGAUUGUGGAAUUUUUUUUGUCAAGCUUUCAUGGAGGUGGAGAAGCAAUGUGAAAUGAAAGAAGAAAAAGAAGGAAAGUUGCUGGAGAAUGUAGAAGCUGCUGGAAGGAAGAGAUAUUUAUAGCCCAUGCUUAUCCAUUUCACUUAAAUUACUAAAAUGCCCCUCCAUAAAUUAACUUACUCUCCUCCAACCCUUUAUGCAAUCUUUUUACUCCUUUGACACUGGGACAAGGUCCAUAAUGGUCUAGACAUGCUCAGAUUCAUGAAAACUUAAAAUUCUAACCAUAGGUGAAAAAUGACCAUUUUACCCCUAUCGUGAAAAUCAUCAAAAUUUUAAUUUUCUUUUCAUCUUACCCCUAAUUUCAUCAUCCAUUUAUGCCUUAGGCCUACUUAGGCCACAAUAUUAUUUAAAAUCUUACUUUUGUGGGCUUACUAAGAAAAUAACGAAAUUACCCCUGAUCAGGGAUAUCGCGUAUAUUACUAACUACAAGUCUAUAAAGAUCAAGAUCUCACAUAUGACAAGAAAGACAAUUAAUUGUGAAUGCUAAGGAAUUGUGGAAUGUCAUAAAUGGUGGAUAAUUUUACGUGUGGUAUUAUAUAUUGAGAACUUUUUACACAAUAUGGCAAGAUUGUCCUAAGGUGGGACUCAUUGGUUGAAGAAAAAUGUUAAAGGAUAAAAUGAGUUUGAAAAUAUUGACUCGGCUUAGUGCAUAUGAUAAGCAAAAGAGAAGAUACACAUGGUUAUGAAAAUUGUGGGAUAGGCAUGGAGGAAAGCCAAAUGGUUGAGCAUGAUCCCUGUAGUAACUUUAAAGAUGGAAGAACUUAUUCGUGGAAGAAAUUUUCAGCAGCCAUAGCGCUACAGCACUAACUCUUUAACGCUGUAGCGUUGAAACUACCCAUAUCCAACAGUCGCGAUGCUGCAGCACUGACUGUCCAAGGCUGCAACACUACGAAUACCUCAUGUCUAGGGUGCAUGAGCAAGAUGGGAGUGGCACGAUAAUGAGCUUACAAGCUGAAUUAUGGUCAUUGGUCAUUGAGCUUUGUUAUUUGGGAGUUUUAAAUGUUCCGGAGAAUGUUUACAUGAAUGUAUUGAAAAGUUUCUUUAUUGCCUUUUAUAUGGGCAUAUAAUUUAAAGAGAAGUUGAAAGAUUCUUGAGAUGGCUACACUAAGAUAAGAUACCAUGUGAAGUAUUAGGAUGAAUAAUAUGUUGACCAAAGUCAAAUCCUAAGAAAUAAAGGAGACGAGAGAUUAAGCCUUGUUAAGGGCUAAGGAAAUAGUGAGUGAAGAGUUAGAUGAAUAUAUGAGAUACGGGUAAGGGAUUUCAAUUCUAAGUGAUGAAAGUGUGAAUGAAGGAUUACAAGAGUGGUAUAGCAAAUGAGUUAUAUAGAAUACUGCUAUGAGAAUUUGCAAUUCCUGUCUUGACUCAGUUGGAUGAAAAGGAUUAGUAACAACACAAGGCCGAUUAGGUGGCAUGCUAGAAACGCUUGGGGAUAAAUUGAAGUAUGAAUAGUUGAGCAUGCACUUGAAUAUCUUGGUGAAUAAGUGCAUGCCUUUUUUGGAAUGAUAUGCUUGGAAUGUUAAAGAGCAAAUAAGUGACUAAGUGUUUCAGGAAUGCACAAAUAUCUUUGAAAAGGAAUUACCAAUCAUACAUGGCGAGUAUAAAAAGUGGGAUUUUUAAAAACUUGCUGAAGAGCCUAACGGCUGAGUCAUGGGUUAAGUGAUCACAUGCGGUGAAGCAUAAGUUUAAGAUAAGUAUCCCUAAGGAAAUACUCAAGAGGCGUUCUACUAUGGAUCUUGUGAAAGUAAGCAUUAAGUUAUAUGGUCAUAAAGAAAAAGCUGUAAACUGAAAGUGAGAUUCGUAUUGACAUUGAAAAGUACUUAAGGAGGACCUUGUUUCAAGUCUUGCAGUUUCAAGUACAAACUAUAGAUUGGUCCAGGGAGAAUGAUGUCACAUUAGUAUGGAAGAAUACAACAAAGGAUGAUUGAAGAUAAUCUGGAUAAUGACGUCCGAUAAUGAAAACUUCCUAAUGUAGUAUGGAAAUUAGAAUUUGAAAAUGCUUAAGGCAUGCACGAUUCGAAUAAGUCUAAGUUUUAAGUGACACAUUAAAGUCGAAAUGCAACAAGGAUAUAAUAUAUAUAUACAUAUUAGAGGUAUGAAGAAUAAUUGAGAAAUAAGGAUGACUUUUAGGGAUUGUGGUAUUACAAAUAUGCAAUGAUCCAAUAAAGAUAAACCUUUGAAAGAUCAACGAGAUUAUAAAGUAUAUACGAAUAUCGGAUUACAAUUUAAUGCAAAUGACAUUUAGCAAGUGAGAUGUGAUUAAUGACAUUGUGAUGCAAAGAUAUAUAUAGUACGAUGAAACUCUAGCAAAUGAUAUAAACGAUAUGAAGUUAUGCAUAGGCAUAAUAAGAAUGUUGACAUGCACUAUGAGAAUUAUUAUAUUGAAUCUUGGAUAGGGAUGGGAAUGAAUAAAGGGAGACGUAGUCCAAGGCACGGGAACACAUGGAUCCCUAUGCGUAACAAGGAAUGUUGAUGUUUGGAAAUGCAUGUACAUACGUAUAUGUGAAAUUGAUGACUUGACCAACUGAGGUGAAGAAUUGUUCUAAGUAAUUUGAGAUUUAAACUCAAUAAUUGAUGAGUUGUAUAGAUAGCACAAUGAUAAAAUAUCCCAUCAGAAGUUGAGCUAUGUUGAUAUAAGAAAUUUUGGAGAAAUAGUCAAAGAAAUGAUACCACGGAAAUGUAAUCUAUAACGUGGUUAAGCUACACAAGAUGGACUAAUACAAUUAAGAAGAUUGAAGUUGCAGAAAUUGAAGGUAAACAUGAGUAUGUGGGAAUUAUUGAAGCCAUUAACCUCCCCCAAUGUUGGGAAUACGACAGGAAUGAAUAUGGCAUAUUAAUGAUGCUGUAAGCUACAUAAUAGUGUAUGAGGAUAGGAUGAAUGAAUGAAUGUCGAGAAGUUUGACAAGGAAAGAAGUAAUAAGAUGGUGAUUGGUAUACAUAAGUAAGUACAAAAUGUGAUUGAAAUUGGAAUGAUUAAGAUGGAGUUAUGGUUCAAAUUUAAUGAUGGGGAUAACGACAUACUCAACGUCUUAAAAUAAGAGAUAAUGAUCGUGAAGGUUACCAUCGAUUUGAUUCUAAAGGAUAAUAACAGACAUAAGUGAAGCAUUCUAGUCGAACUGGAGGUAAACAACGUGAAUGAAUGACUAGAGGUUUGAUAAGAAUCAAAAUAAAGAUAUGUUUGAGAUUAGUGACGAAAUUAAAGGCGUACUUGGGAUCUUAGUGAUAAGAAAUAACAAUUGAUAAGGGUACCGUGGUUUUGACUCAAAUAUGAUAAUAGAUAUAAGAUACGUACCUUGAUCUUGUAAAGUGUUCUAGUCAAAUUGAAGGUAAUGAAGUGCGUAAAUCUAAAUUCCCUAUGAAGAAGGAAAUGGAAUAAGAUCAUCGAGGGAGAUUAACAACCCGACGUUGAGAAAAAUUCGAGGACGAAUUUUAUUUGAGUGGGGGAGAUUGUAAUGCCCCGUACUUUGCUAAGGUGACUAAUAAAGCUUAUCUAACACCAAUUGAGGUUAAUUAUAAUGUUUAGAAAUGAUGAAAGAUGAAAGGAAUAGUUUUGGAUAAAAUAUUUCACACGCGCAAAAAUAAUAAUAAAAUAAUAAUAUUUUUAUCGGGAAAGAAUUUGUGAGAUAAAAAGUGAUUCGGAAGUGUAUUGAGGCAUAAUAAGGUAUUUUGGGUACCAAGAGAUAAGAGGAAAUUUUUGGAAUAAAAUAAUAUUAAAAUAUUAAUAUUUUAUUAAAUUUCAAAAUUUUCCAUGAAGGAAGAGUAUAUAGUCAAUCUAAGUGGGGCAGAAGAGGAAUGAGAAAAUUUCAUAGAAAAAUGACAUUAAUGGGGCUGCGUGUCUUUAUUAAGUGAAGAUAGCACGGGUAAAUAAAUAUUUUAAAUAUUAUGGGAACACCUCAUUGGAGUACAAACUUUAUACUUUAUUUGUACAUGUGUAGAACAAGAUAAUAGAAGGAAAUUGGAGUUAAAUGAGUGUUGGGAGGACUAAAUGAAAAAGGGAAGAAACUUGGAGGGUAAAACGAUAAUUUUACACAAAGUUUGGUCAAAGCUUCCAAAAAAAACUUUGACUCUCAUCCUUAUCAACCCAAAACCAUCCUUAUCUCCUUCAACAAGAUGUUUCUUCUUCAUUCUUGAAGCUUCCAACGCCAUUCUCUCAUUCUCCCAUGGAAAGUUAAUUUUCUUUCAUUUUCUUUCCUUGUUUUCUUUUCAUUUCCUUUCUCUUCUUGCUUCUUUCUUCUCCCAACUUCUUGUGCACCAAAGUUACAACUUCUAAACCCAAUUUCUAGCACUUCCAAACCCAAGGAGAAAGAAAGAAAAAUCUCUCUUUCUUUCCUUUAUUUUCUAUUUCUACUUCACUUUCAAAAAUACUUAGAUUUUUGGCUUCAAAUCUUCAUUUUCAAGGUUGAAAGGUAUAUAUUUCCAACUGUUGGAAUUUUUGAAUUUAUGAUUAUAUUUUCAGAUUUAUUCCCUAAUUUCUUCAAAUUGUUUUUCUUGGAAAGAUUAGGUUUUUUUGUUGAUCUUCAUGCCUCCAAGCUCAUCCAGGUAACGAAAGUUUAAAUUGGAGUAGUUGGCCAAAUGGGCUUGUGAAUUAGACUAGAAACUUAGGUUAAAUGUUAGGUUAGAGGGUAGAUUGCCUAAUGUAAAUUCAUUAGAAUUAUUGGAUUUAAUUUAUGACUUAAUUGAGGUUGUUAUGGUUUAUUGAUAAAUAUAGGUUUUAAUGGUAUUUCGAGACUACCUAGAUUAGAACCAAGGUGAAUGAACUUGCAUUUCAAAAUGUUUUGGGAAAAUCUUUACGUGUUUCAAUGAAUCAUUUAGGAAUUUUAUCGAUUUUUGCUUUAAAAUUUCCUGGGAACAAGCCCUUGAUAAAAUGUUUGAUGUUGUGAAAUGUGAAAUGUGUAAAAGGAUGAAUACAUUUGUUUUUUUAUAAUGUUGAUAUAUAUAUAUAUAUAUAUAUAUAUAUAUAUAUAUAAUAUGUCAUAAAUGGUACCAUUGUGUGACAAAUGCAACCGUGCAUGUGCGGGGUGAGUGUGCACUUGUCGGUGAUGACGGUGAUGAAGGAGAUGGAUGGUGAUGCUGUCCAACUAUGUGCACGAUGUGGUGGGAUGCACAUGAGCUGGGUGAGAUGGGAUGUCCGGCUAUGUGCAGGAUGUGGUGGGAUGCACAUGAGCUGUGUGAGAUGCACAUGAUGAAUCUUGAAAAUUUGCCAUUUAUUUACAAAUUGAUUUUAUUGCAACGAGAAACAUUCUAUUGAUACUGCAUUGCUUGGAUAAUUGCUAAAAAUUUUCCUUUUUUCCAAUUUUAUGUUGAAUACGGUUCCUUCAUCGUUAAAUGAUUUUACAACCAAGGGUUUAAUGGAGGGAUUUUAAUAAGAACUAGAACUAAAUGGUAUUGUUUUCAAAUAAGUACAUUAUGUGUUCUAAACCAUUCCUUGUCAUUGCUUGUCCCCUUCCUAUGUUCACUCACUGAGUUUGUACUCACAUUUUUAAAAUUCAUGUUUUAGGUUUUCUGAGUUAAAGGUGAUUGGAUCCUAGGACAAGGUGCUUCUCCCUAUCCAUUGCUUGGUAGGUUUACCAUGACAUUAAAUGUUAGCAACCGUGAUCAGAGUCACUCCGCUGACGGUCAAGGCCUAAUUAUGUGUAUAUGAAUACUUGAGGUGAAAUACUAAGAUUCAUUGGUCAAGUUAUAUAUGUAUAUUAUGGUAGAUGAUGCCAUUAUGAAUGCAUAAUUGGGUUUUAUGAAUUUUUUUCAAAGGGACUAUAUUUGAACAUUAUGAAUUUUGGAUUUUAAAGGUAUAUGUAUAAGAUUAUACAAAGAGGCUUGCUUGGGCUUAGUGGGCUGAGCCCAUUGGGCCCUUGCACCGUCAUGGCCCGAAAAUUAGGCUGUGACACCUAAAUUCAUAUUGUCAAAAUGACUUUUUAAUAUUAACUCUAUGGAAAGAUAAUGUUAUUCAUUGCAUGUUCUUAAUAGCGUAAUAUUGUUGGGCUCAUAUGGCUACACCCCAUAAACAUUUCUAACAUGUCAUGGAUAAUGACUAAGACGCAGUGCAUAUGUUUGUACAUGACAUAUAAAUGAAAACUCUUAAUCUUUAUACGACAUGUAAAAUGACUCAGUUGGUAAACACUAAAAUAAACAAAGUGCAACGAUGGUACAGGCCAUGCCUGAUAUUGUAAAAUGCUACAGGACAUGCCUAAUAGGCGAUUAAGCGACACGUCGAGGCUAACAAAAGAAUAUGCCACAUACCAUGACUAACAUGCUAAUAUGCAUGAAACGCCUUGCCUAACAUGCAAAUAUGCGACAGGCCAUGACUAACAUUCGAAGAUGGGAAACGCCAUGCCUGAGAGGCGAAUUUGCGAGACCCUAAACCUUAACAUGAGAACAUGCGACACGCCAUGUCUAACAAGCGAGUAUGUGACAUUCCAACCCUAAUAGGCAAAUAUACGACACACCAUGGCUAAAAUGCAAAUAUGCCAUAGACAAUGGCUGACAUGAUAAUAUGCCACACGCCAUGCCUAACAUGGUAAUAUGUGACACAUGAACCCCAACAUGCUACAUGUCAUGCCUAGCAGGCCAUUAUAUGACACACCGUUCCUAACAGUCAAAAAUGAGAUGCGCCAUUUCUAAUAGGCGAGUAUGCCAUACGUCAAACCUAAUAGGCGAAUAUGCAACACACCAUGGCUAAAAUGCAAAUAUGCCACCGAUAAUGGCUGACAUGCUAAUAUGCCACAACUGUGCCUAAUAACAUUGUAAUCUUUGACACGUUGACCCUUACAUGUGAAGAUGCGACACGCCAUGCCUAAUAAGUGAUUAUGUGACAUGCCAUUUUUAAUAGUCGAAUAUGCGACAUGCCAUGCCUAACUGGCAAUAAUGCCACACGCCAACCCUAAUAGGCCAAUAUGCAACAUGUCAUGGCUAAAAUGUGAAUAUGCGACAGACCAUGGUUGACAUGCUAAUAUCCACACUUCAUGCCUAACAUGCUAAUAUGCCACACACCUACACUAACAUGCGAACACGCGACACGCCAUGCCUAAUAGGCGAUUAUGUGACAUGCCAUUCCUAAUAGUCGAACAUCCCUAAACCCAUGACUAACAGGUGAAUAUGCGAGAUGCCAUCGCAUAACAUCAUAAUAUGCGACACGCCAUGCUUAACAGGCGAACAUGUGUGACUCCAUGCCUAACAUGUGAAUAUCCCAAACACCAUGCCUAACAUAUUAAUAUACAACAUGCCAUGCCUUAAAUGUGAAUACACCACACGCCAACCCUAAUUAUUCAAUAUGUGACAUGACAAGCCUAACAUGUGAAAAUGCCACUUGCCACCCAAAAAAAAAUUGCUUCUUUCGUUCACGAGACCAAUCAAAUAACUCACAUUUGCCUAUUUUGAUAAUUUUGUGUACUCAUUUAAAACAUGUGGUCAUGAUAGCUUAAUAUUAAGCACAUUGAAUAUGAACUCUAUGUAUAUUCAAGUUAAUAUAUUAAAAAAUGUUCAUACAACGGGGCAAUUGCCAUUUUCGGGUUCACCUUCACAACUGUUCAAGAAAAUUUCUACAACGAAUUCUUUUUGCAUUUUUGCAAUCAUCUCCUGCUUGACUUUGAUUUGCCUAAAUUGCAUAACGUCUAUAAUAUAUCCAACAAUAAACAUCUUGCAACUGAAGCGAUUGGUCUGCUGAUGUCUUGAGGCUUUUGGUGGUGUUAUCUCCAAUAGCAUCGGCGUUAAAUCUUGUUUCUUGCGAUGUGUAUAAUGGAAAUAACUAGAUUGCUGGUAGAUGAUGAGCAUCAUCAUACUCAGGCAUUGCAUUUGAUUUUGAAGUAGCCUAGAAUCAAUAAUAGCAAAAGUUUUUGUUGAGUCCACAACCUUUAUCCUUCGAUUCACCAAGUUAGAUCUUUGCAACAACACAGUGCUUAUCCAUAUUACACAAUGCGAGUAUAUAAUAGACUUCUGUCCAUUUUCUUCUAAAGGUUGUGUUGUUUAAUUUUCUACCCACACAAGUAUACGUAUUGCAAAGAUAAUAUAAAGAUGAGUAGAGUGUUGAUCCCACAGAAAAUUGAAUUAAUCCUUACUGUUAACUACUAAAUUUAACACACCCUAAUUUUAUCUAAACAAUUAAAAUUUAAAUUAAUAAACUAAUAAUUAAAACUAAUAUAUCAGUAAAAUUACUUUUAGUGAUUACCAGAAUUAAGAUUAUAAUAUCCCUCAGUACUUCAUCUACACAUUGUCUCUCUCUCUCUCUUAACUCAAUUUAAUGGAUUAAGUUACUAACAUAGAGUCCUAAAUUAUUUACAAGUCUCUGUCGAUUGUUUCAUAAAAAUACCUAUCCCAUAUAAUUUACUAUAUGUCUAUGCAAAUUAUAUUGAAGAAAGAUUCAUUAAGUUUGUGCUUUAAUUUUAGCUAUGUAUGGCUUAUAGGUGUAUGUCUACCCUAUAUGCAAAUCAAACUACCUAAUCAACUAAGUGCAUUCGAUCCUACACUAUUCUAUUCUAAGUCUACCUAAAUCUCCUUCGUCAAGGUUUAACCUAGGUUUCCAAUUCAAUCUUAAUUGGUGAUCAGGCAAUUAGAAGCAUUAAGAAUAGAAAAAAUAAAUAACUUAAAUCCAUCAAACAUAAGUAAAAGAGAGAUAAAUAAUUUAGACUGCAUAUUGAGUUCAAUCAUAAUCUUAGAAUAAAAGUUUAGUUCCCCAUUAAGUCACACAUCAACAUUGAAUAAAAUUUAAACAUUAAAAACAAAAUCAAGAGAACAAGAGAAUAAAAAAGAUAGAAAAACUCAAGAAUUAUAUUCUUUAUCUCUAAAUCUCCUCGAAUUCUUCAAAUUCUUCUCAGCUUCAAUGACUAUGUGGCUUGGCUCGCAAUUUGUGUUUUCACUCUCUUCUUUUUUUAAGUCCUUCAAAAGGUUGUUUUUAUAGUUUUGAAGUUAGGCCAAGUUGGGUGGAGAAAGAAGUCAAUUUCAGCUAGGAUUUCCUCAUCAGACUAUGUGGGUUGUAGCCUUGCCCAAUUAAUUACCAGAAAUUGUAAUUGCUCUAUGAUUGCUACAGUGCAUUAAAUUCGAAAAAAUUUUUGAACAUCUUCCAAGUCUAACUGAUAAAGUGUUAAACAUGAAAAUUGUAGCCUUUUCUCUUAUCUUUCCAAUGGUCUAAGAAUUACUUCAUUUGGAGCUCUGUAGAGAAAGUUAUGGCUAAAAUACCAAAACAUAUGUAUUAUAAGUCUGCACCGUGAAAUUGCUUUUCUUCUUCCACUAAAAUUCUUCUUUCAUCAAAUACCUUCAAAAAUACAAAUAAAUCAGUAACAACCUAUCUUAAUUACACUAACACCAAUUUAAGCAUAAAAUUAACUAAGAUUAGAUUGACUCACCUAAAUUAACUAAUUUAAAAUAAUUAAAUAAAAUAUACUAAUUUCUAUGGAUUACUACAAGAACUAAGCUAAAUUACUAUCAAAAUUAUGCCCAAAUAACUCUAUAUCAUAGAGUUAUCACACCUCUAAACUUAAUAUUUUGCUAGUCGACAAGCAAAACAUAAAAAAGAACCUAACUUACGAAAAUCAAAUUCAGUUAAUGAAAACUAAAAUAAAUAUAGUUACUACCACUUCUACUACUGCUACUAUUACUACUACUACUAGAAACAAAGUGCACUAGCUCAAUGAUUUCACAUAAUUUCCUCAAAAGUAUGUUUAUCAAUCAUUAAUCUAAAGAAAAAUAUAGGCAUCAUUUAAAUUCAUGUAUCAAUUCCAAUGCAGGCAUAUUCUUGAAUGGAUUUUCGUGUGUGUGUGUAAAGUUUUUUACCAAGAAUAUCAUGACAUCCAGAUGAGUUUAUGCCAACACAAAUUUCAAAUUAGUACUAGAACUUCAUAUGUUUAUUUUUCAUCUCUCUCUCCACUAAUGUAGAGUAACACGAAGCUAGGGAUCAAUAGGACUUUAAUAGGCUUGUAAUGUAUGGCUAGGGUCAAGGUAUGAUAAAGGAUAUUAAUGUGGCUCAAAUCACCCUAAACACAUAAUUAUUCUAGGACCUAUCUAAAGAGAUUUAUUCUCCUUCUCCAACAUUUUCUUCCACAUUUGAACUUUUCUUUUUUUUUUUAAUACAUUUUGUUCACAAUUUCACACCCCCAAACUUAUUUUCUUUGUGUUGUAGGUAGUGGGGUUAUUUUUCAUAUUUUGAACUUCUUUUUUAUUUUUUUUCACAUCAACAUCACCUUUCCACCUUUUUCAACAUUUAACUCAAUUUAUAUUUCCUAAAACAAUAUACAUAUUUAGGAGUGAGGGUUGCAAAAUUAGAAAUUUUAUUUUAAGUCUAAGCUCAAUUAUUAUGUAGUUAAACAAAGAAUAGAGAAAUUAGGCUCAAAAAGGGUAUACUAGGGAUAAAAAUUUAACAAGGUUGGCUUUUUAAGCUUAAACAGUCCAAAGAUGACCUAAAUCAUAACUAAGUAUUGCCUAAGAUUUCACCUUGAGAGAAAUCAAGCAAAUUCUAGAAUUCAUGACGUAGUCUAAAAUUUACAUCAAUAUAAACCUUUUCCAAAUAUUCAGAAUAAUUCAAAGUAAAAGAUAUAGUGCUCAAAAUUGUGGAAAUCACAUUCUAACAAUGAUACUUAUCAACAGAAUUUAGCAUGAAUCCAAACAAAAACCUUAUUCACCAAAAGCUAAGAAUUCAGGACAACUAGUUAUCAUCAUUGGAUAGAGAAAUCAUUGAAAAAGUUGGCACAACUUUACUCUAGAUUCCUUAAAUUUGAACAAACAAUAAAUUCAUUUACCAACUAAUCCUAAAUUAUUUAUAAAAGUAAAUACGCAUACAAAUAAAAUUAAAUCUAAAACUUCCAGAAAAUAUUAAUCACUAGAAAAAUAAAUUCACCCCCCCCAAACUUAAACAAAACAUUGUUCUUAAUGUUAAAAAAAAUAAAGGAAAGGUAAAGAAUACUCUUUUGAUGGUUGGAUGAAUCUGGUGAAGCGUUAGUCCUCACCUUCGUCCUCAUCAUCCUCAUUGUCACCUGUAAGAGAAUUUUUUUUAUUGAAAAAAAAUAAGUAGAGAUUAAUGAAAAUAAAUAAAUGAAUAAAAUAAAAAUAAUUAAAAAAUAAAAGUUUUGAAAGCUUGGGUUGCCUCCCAAGAAGCGCUUCUUUAUAGUCAAUAGCUUGACUUUGGUUGAGGUUUGAGUUUGCAUGGAAAAGCUUGAGGUGUGAAAGUAGCCUCCUUUUGAGAUGAGGUUGUAGUGCCUUUAACUCAAAAUUUGAUGCUGACUUAACCCGAGGUGGUGGAAUAGGCUAACUUUUAUCUAACUUUUCAAAUUGAGUUCUUCUUGAAUAAUGCGCUUCUGUCAUAAUCUCUUUAAGUAACUCAUCAACUAUAUCCAUAAAAGGAAUGGGAGGCAUAUAUGGCUUGACUUAUGGUGGUGUAGAUAUUUCCUCUUCUUGUUUAAUUUCUCCAUCUUGAACUUGAUUGUUGGAAAUAUUUCCUUGAUCUACUCUAUCUCCAUCAUCUUAAGGUCUAUUAUUAAUGGCAAUAGCUAGUUGACUCACUUGUGUCUCAAGAUUUCGAAUUGAUUCUGCUUAACUUUGAAUGAUGGCAUCAGUCUUUUGUCAUGAAUUGCAUGAACAUAUCCUCUAUUGAAGGCUUUUUCUCUAGCAUAGGAGCUUUAACUUGUGACUGAAAACCAUAAUGGAAAAUAGGUUGUGAUGAAUAUGUAGGACCGUGAUCAUUACUUCAUGAAAAAUUUUCAUGAUUCCACCAUGAGUUAUAAUUGUUGGAGUAUGACUUAUUUUGCUGCCCAUCGAAGCUUCCAUCAAAUUGCAUUGAUUCAUAAUAGACUGGACAACAAUCACUUGAAUGCCUAUCUCCACAAAGCUCACAUGUUACAAAAGGACUUUGAAAAGCAUUAACACCUCGAGUGUUAAUUUUUUGAGACAAAGCAUCUAUUUGGGUGGCUAAAACAUUGAUUGCAUCCAAUGCAUAAUCAGUAGCAAGCCUUUUAGGCACAAAUAGUUCAAAUGGCCAUUGAUAGUUCAUCACUUCAAUCAAAAGUAUCUGAAAAUAAAACAAAAAGUUUGAAGUAAGAUUAGAAUUCUUGGUAUUAAUAUUAACAAGGAAGAAUUAAAAAUCAAUUUCCUAACAACGGCGCCAAAAACUUGUUGUUCCAUUUUCUACCCACGCAAGUAUAUGUAUCGCAAAGAUAAUAUAGAGAUGAGUAGAGUGUCGAUCCCACAAAGAAUUGAAUUAAUCCUUAUUGUUAACUAUUAAAAUUAACACACCCUAAUUUUAUCUAAACAAUUAAAAUUAAAAAGAAAAAUUUAAAUUAAUAAACUAAUAAUUAAAACUAAUAUAUCAACAAAAUUACUCCUAAUGAUUACCAUACUUAAGAUUAUGAUAUCCCUCAAUACUUCAUCUGCAUAUUGUCUCUCUCUCUUAACUAAAUUUAAUGGAUUAAGUUGCUAACCUCGAGUUCUAAAUUAUUAACAAGUUUCUGUCUAGUUUCUCAUAAAAAUACCUAUCCCAAUUAAUUUACUAUAUGUUUAUGCAAAUUAUAUUGAAUAAAGAUUCAUUAAGUUUGUGCUUUAAUUUUAGUUACGUAUGGCUUAUAGGUGUAUGUCUACCCUAUAUGCAAAUCAAACCACCUAAUCAACUAAGUGCAUUCGAUCAUACGCUAUUCUAUUUUAGGUCUACCUAAAUCUCCUUUGUCAAGUUUCCAAUUCAAUCUAAUUGGUGAUCAGGCAAUUAGAAGCAUUAAGAACAUAAUAAAUUAAACAACUUAAAUCUAUUAAAAAUAAGUAAAAGAAAGAUAAAUAAUUCAGACUACAUAUUGAGUUCAACCAUAAUCUUAGAUAAAAAGUUUAGUUCCCCAUUAAGUCACACAUUGAAUAAAAUUUAAACAUUAAAAACAAAACCAAGAUAACAAGAAAAUAAAAAAGAUAGAAAAACUAAAGAAUUGUAUUUUUGAUCUCCAAAUUUCCUUGAAUUCUUCAAAUUCUUCUUAGCGUCAAUGACUCUGUGGCUUGACUUUCAAUCUGGUGUUUCAUUUUUUUAUUUUUUUUAAGUCCUUCGAAAGGUUAUUUUUAUAGGUUUUGAAGCUAAGCCAAGUUGGGUGGAGAAAGAAGUCAAUUUUAGCUGGGAUUUCUUCAUCAGACUAUAUGGGUCGCAGCCUUGCCCAAUUAGUUACAAGAAAUCAUAAUUGCUCUAGGACUACUGUAGUGUGUUAACUUCGACAAGAUUUUUUACCACCUUCCAGGUCGAACUGGACAAAGUGUUAAACAUGAAAGUUGUAUCUUUUUCUCUUAUCUUUUCAAUGGUCUAAGACUUGCUUCAUUACCUUUUUAAGCUCAAGACAAUCCUGCAUGUACUUGUGCAUCAGCUAACACAUAAGCCGACGCAAGUAACGGACUGUGAGUUCAUCAUCAUCGGUUGUCCUCCCCUAGCUCAACUACAAUAAGAGCAAUUAAUUGUGUUAGUCGAUAGUCAAACAUGGAGUUGUUGCAUAUAAAACUAAGAAUUAUACAUACUAACCAGUGGAUUGGAACCAAUGUGCAUCUCAAAAUGUCCUGUCCCCAUAUGCAUCUAAGGCCAACUACUAUAUAGUUAAGGAAGUGGACGUGUAUAUCUGAUCUUCGUGUUGGGAAAAAGAAGCUUGACUCACAUUGGCCUAGUCAACAUCCUCUUACAUCAACUGAAGGUGUGACUAGUCGUCAUCUAGACGUGUGACCAUGCGCCUUCGCUUAACGAGGGCAGACAUUUUUUUCUCCUUUAACGCUCUCCUCUUCAGUCUUUGCUAGAUAUCUCACUUGGGUCGAUCCUUCAUAUGGCCUAUUGGCAUGUACUAGUUCCCCUCAAAUAGAAGGACCUCUAUGUCUGACCAAUAUUCUCAUCUGGCCUCCUCUAGUGUGGGCUCUAAGGUUUUGUGUGCUAAUAACUGCAAAAUAAGUAAAAUGAUAUUAGAUUUUGAAAGAUAGUAUAUAGAUGAACAAUGUAUAUUAGUAGGUUUACCUUCACUGCUAAGUAGAACUUUUGAACCACCUUGUAGAACUCCUUCGACUUUUAAUUGCACUUCCAUCUGCAAAUACAUGGGUACGCGUCCUCAUUGGAAAGACUUGGAGCAAUUAAUUUUGGAACACAAGAAUGGCCCCUAUUGCCCAUAAUUGCAAAUUAAUUGUAAACAUUAUUAUCACCUAUCUCAUACAUGACAUGCCAGCUUAAAUAUGUUAUAUAUAAAAGUAAAUUGGAAAAUGUUUCUUGAUAGUAUCUGUAUCGCGCAUGCAAAAUUAUAGAGGCUGUAGCGUAAAUGAUUUUGCAUAUCAGAGGUUUUGAGAGGAACUUUGAACCCUUUCAAUAGGUAGUCAUCAAUCAGCCUCCAUACAUAAUGACCCCAUGGGAAGACAUUCCAAGCUUCAAUGUCCUGAACCAACUCUAAUAGCUAAAAUGUCACCUAUCUUCUAUAGUCUUGUCUGAAUAAAAAAUUAUUCACCAUUAAGACGAGUGCCAUCUUUGUUGCGUCUCCUGGUUGCUGAAAGUUACAUUCUUGAAACUUAUCAAGCAACUGUUGUAGCUUUAAAUUGUCAUUCAUGUUCCAGAAUAUUGUGUGAAUGCCUCUAAAACGACCUUGUACAGUUGUUGGAAUAUAUUCAGCAUGGGGCUGAAUUUCAAUCUUGUAACAAGACAGAACUCUUGUUUGGAGAACAGCACCUUCGUCUUCACAAUUGUAAACCACAACUCAUGCUCCAACGAUUUGGGUUUAUUGAUUCAAUGAACCAUGAUGUUCUGCACAAGACUAGUGCAAAAGAAGCCCUGUGGAUGGACAUACUAAAGCAUAUACACUUCACUGCUUCAUACUCCGCUUUCUUUUAGGAGCAUCUUGUUGAUGUAUUAUAGUUGUGACCACUUACAAUGGGUGUUAAUGGGGACGUUGAAAGCCCAUUUAUCCUUUGGCAUAACAAGAGAUGCCUCAAGGUUAUUGUACUCUCUCAACUCCAUCUGCAAAACAUAUCACCCAUGCAUGUGUAAGCUACGUGCCAUUAACAUUAAACCCAUUUCAAGCAACGCACUAGUUUGAGCAAAUUUAUUGUUGUUCCACAUUAUGCAGAUUUCUUAAAAUGUUUUUAUGCGCCUAAAAAGAUGUUAGUUAUAUGAUGUAAUUGUCUCCAGGAAAUAAGCAAGGGGAAUGAAUGUACAUUGAAAACUAAGCCCAAAAAUGAAGAAAAAAACAUGAAAAACAUAUCAAUGCAUUACCCUUAACCCAUACCUUUCCUAAAGCAACAAAAUCAUGAAAAAAACCACUCAAAACACAUAAGAGAACUCACCAUUCAUUGAUUGACUUUUUCACACAAUUACAAAUUUGUUGUUGUAACCCUAAACUUUCCUCAGAAUUUGGUCCAACGCUUUAAUGCCUAUGGCAAUGAGGAAAUAUGAAUGAAUCAAACCGUCUCUACUCUUUGCUCUUAGUUGACCCUUCCAUUUGCCAAUGAGUAAUAAAAUGCGAUGGUGUGUUAAAUUCCUCACCUCUUAUAUACAUAGAUGAGAAAUUGAUAUAGGUUUCAUUAAGGGCAUUUUUGUUCGAAAUUCCUUUCUAUUAGAUUAUAGUGGUUAAAUUUAUGGCAUGUUACAUAAUCUCACCAUGGCAUGUUAUAACAACACUUUUUAACAUGAAGUCUAAUAAGCUUACUUUGGCAUCUCCAAAUAUUUUUCACUUUUUCUAUUAACAACAACCUUUUUUUAAGAUCGUGUGGAACAUCUUCCUUUCAACACAUGUGAAUGAAAAUUAUUUUUUAACUGUGGCAUGUUAAAACCCAAUUUUUUUAAACCUAGCAUAUUUUAACCUAAAUCAUCUGAUAAGAUCCACAUUCUUUUGAUUUUUGUCUUAUUGCUGUCAAAUUUGAAAGGCUUGAUGAUAAGACAAUUGCUAAGGCUACUAUAAACAUUGUUCAAUCUUGAAUGACAAUUGCUUCAAUGUAAAUAUAUUUUUUUUCCCAACUUAAAUGAGUUUUCUUUAUCAUUUUCCUAUUUCUUCAAAACUUUUAUGCAUUUGUCCAUUGGUUUUCAUGUUAAAGGUAUGAUUAUCUAACAUGCCAUUUACCAACAUUGAUAAGUUAUAACCUUUUUCUUUCAUUGUCAAAUUAAGAUACAUUUCUUGGGAUGUAAUAUUUAUUUCUAUGUUCUAAUUUAUGACUUUUACACAAUAUGUAUUAUGACCAAUUUGUUGGAAUGCGUCAAUAGACAUUGCUAUUAUAAGCCAUGGAUACUAUACAACUAUUGCUAAACGGCAUGCCAAUGUUAUUUCUCACUUACAUGACACGCCUUUAUAUAUUGUCAGUCACACCAAUUUUACAUAUAUUGUCAGUUAUGCGCCAUGCCUAUAUAUUUUGUCAGUUACACUUUAUGCGUAAAUAUACCUUAUUAUUACAUGACAUUCUUAACACCAUUCUAAAUAAAGGUAUUCCUAAUUAUGUAGCUAAAAUAAUGAUUCAUUUACAAUCAAAAUAAACUUCAUAAUUUGGAAGAAGAAAGAGCCAUAUGCUUCUACCCUAUACCAAAACCCUAAAAAUGAGAUAAACAUAAAAGUUUUCCCAGUUUUAUUCCAUAACUUGCAAUAAAACUAUAAAUUCAAUAUAGUAUAUUGCACAACACAAAAAAUUAAACAUAGAUCGAUGAGUCAAGAAUUUACAAGCAUUUCUUUGAGGUUUUUUUUAAAAUUGUUACAUUAUGGGAUAUUUGUACCAACUACAUUUUCAAACUGUUGCAUCAACAAAAAAGUGUUAGUGAACUUAUUUGCAUUAAAUCAUCAUUGAACUAAAGUGGUCGAAUAUUACUUAUUCUAUUAAAUAAAAUAUGUCAAGCCCGACUCUACAAUAUGUUUAUUAUGCCAUUCCUACAUAAGAAUGCAUGUUUGCUUAUUUGGGUACCUCGAAAAUCGUUAAAGGACGACAAUGUACCAAAUAGUGUAAUUAAGUUGAAUUAAGCCUUGGACUAGUCCAAAUAGAGAUUUUAAGAUGAAAUUGAGAAUUUUAAAAUCUCAGAAUGACUUAAAAUGGUGAUUUGGAGUUCGAGGACCGAUUUUGAGUCAAAUUAAAAUUUUCAUGAUCUAGGGCCAAAAUUGUCAUUUUGCCACCCGAGGUUAAAAUUGGAAUGUUGGAAGAAGUUUUUGAUCAAGAUUGACUAUUUAGAGCAUAAUUUGAGUUUGAGAAGUGAAAAAUUUUAAUUUCGAACAUUUUUUCGAGCAUAGGGGUAAAAUAGUCAUUUUGCCACCCCAUGGGCAAAAUUGUAAUUUUACACCACCUAACACUUGUCCAGCACAUGGAUUUUAUCCAAUAUUAUCAUGGAUAAUUGAAGGAUUUUAUGUGGUGGAGAAAGAAAACUUAAUAGUUAAGAAUUUAAAAAUGGACCAAUAACAUGGUGACAAGUGUCAAGCUUACAUUAUUUUAUUAUUUUGCUUUAAAAAUCAGCCUACAACUCUUCCACAUUCAUUCUUAUGGCCGACCAUAGCAAGAACAAAGGGAGAAAAGAAAGAACAAGAACCCUAAGGUGAAAAUUCAAGAGAAAAUUGGUGGAUUUCAAGUAAUUAAGCAAUCAAAGGUAAAAUUUCUUGAUUUUGACUUGUGAUCUACCUUUUUCAUGCAUUCUUUUGCAUUUUCCAUGGUUGAAUCACAUGAUUUCAUGAUGGGUAUCUUGCUGGCUGAACAUUUAGAGAGAGGUUUUGAUGCUUGAUUUGGUUAGAUUUUAAGAUAUUUUAGUGUUUUUAGUUAGUUAGUGAUGUAUAGCAUGAAAAUCAAGCAAGAAAAGUUCAUGUUCUUCCAUCACCCAUCAAUGGUCGAAUUUUACAAGAGAAACUGUGAGGAUGAUUUUGCCAUAUUUCAAGUUAUUUAAUUUGUGCUUGAUGAUUUGGAGUAUUGGGAGAAAAAUGAAAUUAUUUGGAGUUGAAUUGGACGUAUUGGCCAAUUAAUCAAGUGAUGGAUCGAAUUAGGCUAAUACCGUUUAAUUUAGGUACACAAUUUAAUUUGUGUAGAACACCGUGUUUAGACAAUAAUCCGAACAAUUUGCAUCCCAUUUCAUACAUUAGUAUAAAGCUUGAAUUAGUUUUAUAACAAUUUAGCAUAAUGUAGUAAAUGGCUUAUUGUGCAUUAUGUCUAGGUGGUGAGUAUUUUGGCAAAAGUAAAGAGAUAGUACCAGAUGAUCAAGAAUCGGAGUACUUGGAAUUCGACUCUCAAAAUAGUGAGUAACCUUACUAUCGUCUUAAUUAUCUAAAGUAUGUUUUAUUCGAUUUUGUGAAUUUUAUGGAAAAUGACUUAAAUGAUUAAUUUUUCAGUUUUAUAAACAAAAUGUGAUUUAAUGAAAUGAUUUCAUAAAAUUGUUUUGAAAUUGAAUGAUGGCUUUGAAAAUAGAGUAACUGGAGACCACUUGAUGUGUUGUAAAUUUAUGGUUCUAAUUUAUGGCUUAUGAUAAUGUGUUGGCAUGACUGGCUGAAAUUGUGGUUUGUGAACUGUAUGAAUUGUUCUGUUUUACAUUUACAGGCUGGGUAGUAUAAUAUUAGUCAUGUCAUGCUGUCAAAAUUUUAUUGUAUGGUGGGUUUAGCUUACUGCAGUGGCUAAGUUCUGUGGACCAGCCUAUUAGAAGGGCAUGAAAUUCAGUUAUAUUUUACCUCGGUUGGAGAUGUGAGUAAGGUAACUCCCGAGGUAUAACUUUAGAGUUCACUUCACACCAAACCACCACAUGAGGGUGAACUCAGCCAACGCCAAGGAACGACUAUAUUUUUAAAAUAAAAACAUGAUUUAUGCAUACAUAACUUUUUAACAACCUUGGCGGACUCGGUUGGGAUAGCCCUUGAUCAAGGCAUCCCUGAUAACUGGGUAUGAAAAUGAUUUUGGCAAGAGCCAAAGUUUUAAGAAAUUCAUAAGCCAUGUUAAUUAUUCGAUUUAUGUGAAUUGAUUUUAUUUGAUUGAAACAAGUUGAAAGGUGAUGAAUUACAAUAUGUUGAACUAUUUUAUCUGUCUCCAUUUACUC